ACAGGGAUGUCCCUCGAUCAUCAACAGCAAAGUUCAAGGGACGCAUCCCUGGGUGGCUCACAGGGCCAACCUUCUAAGCAGUCUCAACAAUUAUGGCAAAACAGCUACUAAUCUCAGUCACCUCCAGGUUUUUCAGGGUCUCACUCCGAGUUUGAAAGUGGCCAAUCAGAGGCAUUAGGCCUCUUAAUAAUCAUCAUGUAUCCUUAUUUGGUCAUAAAAGAGACCUUGACUGGCUGCUGCCCUGUGCCACGAGGUUGUAUCCUAGAUAUUUAUUUUUCCUGUCAUGCUUAACGUAGGAACGCAGUGUGCUAAUUUGGAUUAGUGAAGUACUAUACUACGCCCCGUUUCGUUUCUCGCUCAUCGCCUUUCUUUGUUAUAGUAAAAUCAUUGUUUGCUUUGAAUGAAGUAACCAAUAUGGGAUACUGCUGAGACCCCGCUACUUGCAUCUGGGUUGGUUUUCUUCAGUAGGUUGCGACAUGUUUUGUUGACGUUGACAUGUUUUGUUGACAUUCUUGCCAAAGAUCUAACUUCUUAGUUGUGAAAUCCACGUCCUAAAUUGAAGUUCACAAAUUUUUUUUUCUGGUAACAUUUCAUAAAAAAUAAAGUUAUUAAAAGAUAAAAUUUAAGUUAUCAAAAAAAAAUGUGUACUUUAAUUUGGGGUGUGUGGAUUUUACAAUCCUCACAUAAGUUAGAGCGUAUAAGAUUUCUUUCAAAUGAUGUUUUUAGAUUUAGUUUCUUAGAUUUCGAAUGGUGUUCUUAAAUUUUAAGCUUCUCAUAAAAUGUAAAUAAAUGUCACACUACGGUGUUGAUAAAUUCAUUAAGAUGUACCUUCAAAAGUAAUAUAAGGAAACUGGUAAAUCUGUAUAAAUUUUUUUUUUUUUUUGUAUGGGAAUGGGUAUCUGUAUUUGAACACUAAAAAUCUUCAAAUCAACAAAUUUACAUCGGUAUAGGGCUCUCCAACCGGCGCCCCUCAUCCCAUAAAGAAGUAAAACUUAACCACACUUAUAACCGACGAAUUGUCGUCGCUGGAAGUCUCAAUUUCAUUAGAAAACAACAACAAAAUCUCAGUCUCACAAACUAACUGUAAAAACUAGACAGUGUCUUUACCCAACAGGGAACCUGCGAGAGUGCUCCUCAAGCCCCCAGUUUGGAAGUUGCAGCUUCCAACGCGUUAAAGCAUUAAACUUUAAGCAUUGUUGUCAGUGGAGAAAGGCCUUCACUUUAUAUGGCAGUUUGUUUCAGAAUCACUCUUCCUUCUUCUUUCUUCGGUAAUCUUUCCACUUCUGUAAUCUUUCAUAGAAAAACUUUACUUGAUUCAUUCUAGAACGCAUCACAAAAGCCCUUUUCUUUUCUUGAUAAUACCACCGUUCUUCUCAUCAAGGGUCAUCACUUCAAUUUUCAUCUCAGUUUUAAGGUAGACAAUCAGACAUAGCCUUUUCUUUUCUGGGUUCUUUCGCUUUUCUUGAUUAUGGGUAAAGUUUAGUUCUUUUAAGAAUUGUUGGUAUGUGAAAUGGUAAGAAAUUAAGGUGAAGUGCUUUGCUUCAAGUUUGCAUUGUGGGUUCAAGUUUCUGAUACCAAAGAAUUGGCAAGAUAUGAUUUUUAUCAUCUAUGGUGUGCUAAAUGCCUAUAUUACAGGGAUGCUUUGAAUCUGAUGGUUUCAUGCAUUGCAUUUUUGGGCUGUGAUCACCAAUUUCAGCAUCUUGGUUUCUUUUUCUGAGGGAAAUAGAAAUUAUUUUUCUUGUUAGAGCAGUAGCUGGUUUGUUAACUUUAUGUGUAUGUGUAGAUGGAAGACAGCAACAAGAGUAAAACAGGUGACAGCAUUUCUUGUGCCGGUAGCAAUAAGCCGAAGAAACCAGAUGUCCAUAAGAACGGUUAUAGUAAAGAUGUCAUGCCUGGGAGUGAACUUUGGACUGAGGGGCUUAUCUGUGCUUUUGAGUUCAUUCGGGGUCGAAAGAAAUCAAUUGGUUUGAAAUCUGGCUCAACAAUCCCAAGCAGACAACAUACAGAUGGUGGUGACCAUGAGAAGCUGCGGGUUCCUUCUAAAGGAGUUCAAGAGUCUUCUUUCCCAAUACAUGACAGGAACAAGUCCAUAAGUGGUGAUUACAAAUACAGCCCGACUCAUGAUGGUGAAAGAGUAACUGAUCACUGGGUGCCAAUUGGGUGGGUUAGAAUUUCAGAAAUCGUCCAAAAUGUGCAAGCUGAUGCCGGUUGGGAUCCUCAACAGUUUGGGAUUGAUGAUGAAGAUUUCACUGUUGCAGACUUAGCAGCUCCAUAUUGGGAGCGUCCAGUAGGGCCUGUCUGGUGGUGCCAUGUCUCUGCAAGUCAUCCUGCGGUUGAAGAUUGGCUCCGUAAUGCCCAGUGGCUACAUCCCGCUGUCAGUUUAGCUUUAAGAGAUGAAAGUCGACUGAUUAGUGAUAAAAUGAAACACCUAUUAUAUGAGGUAAAGUGCAUCUUACAUAAUAUGGAAUUGCUAUUUACUUGGAAGAAUCAGCUUUUAGGCCUCUUGUAAUAAGAAAGUAGACCUGGGAUUGAAUCGCCUUAACUACAGAUGGUGGCUUGUAGGAUUGUGCACCCCUAUUGCAAUUUGUGAUGUAUGGCCAUUGCAUAUAGAAUAUUCUAUACUUAGAAACUACCAAUAAUUUUAUGAACUGUUAGGAUGAUAAAUAGCUUUCUAAGCCAAUAAAAUGUGGUGGCUUGGGUUAAAGCCUGAGAGGUCUUAUAUCCGCACUAUUAGACUGCUAGGAAAGCCAAUAAGCUCUUUACUGAAAAUUUGCACAAAACAUCUUUGUCUCUUCUUUUGUAUCUUUUGUCCCUUUAUUUCAUGAUUCAUGACAUUUAGGAAAGUAAGGACUUCUAGUUGGUAUAUCUUUGAGUUUUGUAUACAUUGCUUGAUACUUGUGAAUCCUACGAGUGGAUCCACAGAGGUGAAGAGUAACAAAAUUGAGCCCUCCCAUAAAUGAGCUAUAUUUGUCAAUCUUGAGAAUGAAUUUGGCUUUCAUUCUUGUGUGAGCUCUUGUUUCCUUGUUUAUUGAUCAUGCUUUGUACUUCUAUUCAGGUCCCAGUUAGAGUUUCUGGGGGGUUGUUAUUUGAACUCUUGGGACAGUCAGUUGGUAAUCCAUUUGUUGAUGAGGAUGAUAUACCCGUUGUACUUCGUUCCUGGCAAGCACAAAACUUCCUUGUAACUGCUUUGCAUGUGAAAGGGCGUGUAUCAAAUAUAAAUGUGUUGGGCAUCACAGAAGUUCAGGUUGUGCUUAUUAAUAGCUUUGAUUCUAAACUAAACUAUGAUUUUAUUACUCGUGCAAUUUAUUAACUUAUUGUGAUGCCAUGUUUAUUCCAUUUUGUCUUUGCUCUGAUUAGGAACUUCUUUCCACUGGAGGCUAUAAUGUACCAAAAACAGUGCAUGAAGUCAUAGCACAUCUAACUAGCCGCCUUACUCGAUGGGAUGAUAGGUAAUGUUGAUAUUUAUUGAUUGUAUUUGUUUCAGCUUACAACACAUACUUUUUAAAAUGCUACAUCAAUUAUUUGUCUAGUCUCAUGAAUGCUAGUUUUUGUGUUCCAAUCAUAUGAAAUGCUUUCUUCUCUUUUCCCCUUUUCAUCUAUGCAUUCAAAAAUGCUGCAAUGAGUUUAUAUGGUAUUUGUGUAAAUGCUCCCCCAUGCACACAAAGACACAAUUACAGUUCAGUUCAUGCAAUAUGUUAAAGCAGACGUUUUGAUUGUUUAUGCUAUAGAUUUGGACAUUUUACAUCGUCUUUCAGCAGGGUUGAUUAGUUUGUUUUACAUGAAAGUUGGUUCAUUUAUCUCAGAAUAGAUUUUAGAGUAUUUUGAGUCCGUAUAUUCUAAUUUCCUUAUGUCUUUGAUGUGUUGGUUGUUUCAGGCUGUUCCGCAAAUCCAUAUUUGGUGCCGCAGAUGAGAUUGAAUUGAAGUUUAUGAACAGGUACUUCCUUAGAUAGUCCUCAUAAAGUGAUAUUAUCUCAUUAAGUAAUAAGUUGAUACCAUUUUGUCUAUGACUAAUAAAUGUUCUUUCCUCAAUGAAUAGGAGAAACCAUGAAGAUUUGAAUCUAUUCAGCAUAAUUCUCAACCAAGAAAUCAGAAAGUUAUCGAGACAGGUAUGUUACAUCUUUUUGCUAGUAAACCAUUAAAUAUGAGAAAUAGCCUGAUUUUUCAUUAGGAAAUGAAGAUUGAAUUUGAGUAUGAUAUCUGAGGUUAUCUGUUACAUGAUUUCUAAUUCUAUAAUAAGACCUACAGUGAAUGUUUAUGGUCUAAGAAUAUGUUUGGAUGUCAUUGAUUUCAACCUACUUGUACUAUAGUUUAACCCGUAUACUAUUUAUUUUGGACAAACUAACUUUUAGCAACUAUACAUUAUGUUAUAUCUGUUUAUCAGUGACCUCUUUUCUCUUGACUGUUGAAGUGGAAAAUCCAAGUCACAGUGAUAUUUAUUUAAAGAACAGUCACUAGUCACUUUUUUUAGUGUCCUUUAGAGUUAAAAUGUCAACAAAAUUGAUUAAUUUCCUGAAAAAUCCAUUUCCAGGUCAUCAGAGUAAAGUGGUCACUUCAUGCAAGAGAGGAGAUUUUGUUUGAGCUUCUUGAACAUUUGAGAGGAAAUAUUACAAGAACCUUAUUAGAGAAAAUAAGAAAGAGCACAAGAGAAAUGAUUGAGGAGCAAGAAGCAGUUCGUGGCCGCUUAUUUACAAUUCAGGAUGUGAUGCAGAGCACUGUUCGUGCAUGGUUGCAGGUCUGUACGCAAACAAUAACGUGAAAUUUAAUGGAACUUUAUUUAUAUCUAAUUUUUAUUAACUGCUGAUUUUGUCCUCUUUUCAAUAUUAAUCCAGGACAGAAGCCUAAGAGUGACACAUAAUCUUGCUGUUUUUGGUGGUUGUGGCCUUGUGCUUUCCAUCAUCACCGGGCUUUUUGGAAUCAAUGUUGAUGGAAUGCCUGGAGCAAACAAUACACCAUAUGCAUUUGGCCUAUUUACAGGCAUACUCUUUUUUAUUGGAAUCGUGCUAAUUCUACUUGGGUUGCUUUACCUUGGGUUGAAAGAGCCUAUUGCCGAAGAGCAAGUCGAAGUUAGAAAAUUAGAGCUUCAAGAGUUGGUUCAGAUGUUUCAACACGAGGCAGAAACUCAUGCCCUGGUUCGUAAAAAUGUGUCUCGGAAUAAUUUACCGCCAACAUUGGGAGAUGCAUUCAGAGGUAACGCAAAUUAUAUCCUCAUCGAGUAGGUUACAGUGCCGAAAGCCUGGAAGUGCAUUUUGCACCAAGCUCUUGUCUUGAGAAUUUCUAGUUGAAAGGAAAUGUUGCAGGCUUCAUUUAGUGUAGUGGGGGCGUAUUGAGAAUGAUUCCUAGUGAUACGGUAACAAAAUAGAUGCAUAAUCGAAACUUGGUAUGUUGUUAAAUAGUCGUAUUUGUAAGUUUGAAUCUAAUGGAUUUGAGAUGUCAUUUUUCUGUUAGAUUUAACUUCUAACACUGUCCAAAUACUUUAAGAAUAAUGGAUUUUAGGUUUAACAUGCCUAAUUGCCUCUACCAAUAUGGGGUUAAAUAAAGAUGUGCUUUCCAAAAAAAACUGCAAUAAAAUCGGGAGUGUGGAACCAACAUAACUUGGCAUUAAACAUCUCGUAAUGGUGCCCAUGUAAUUAGUAAAUGGUAGAAACAUUCUCAAGUACCCAUGUGAUGAUCACAUUCAACUCAAAAACAUAUCUCUGUAUCUCAAAUCCAUAACUUGAAUUCUGAAGCUUUUACUUGAAUUGUUCUAAUGUGUAAAUCAUUCGAGUUCUGUAAGAGGAGAUGAAAGGAAGUGAUAAAUUCUUAUAGUAUGCAGUUUCGCGAAUGCGCUACUAUAAGCCAUUACACCUAAUGGAUAAGAAUAUAUUAGACUGAUGUUCUUUCCAUGCUUCUCCUGUCAUCCACUCACUUGAGAAGAGAUCUGGCAAAAUGUUCGCGUGCAGUAGCAAGUGCUUGGCCUAUUGUCUGCAAAUAGAAGAAGAUAUAAAUCAAUAUACAAUAUGGUUGGUUCAGUCUAGUUGUUAACUUGAAUUGCUUUUCAUGUCUGAUUUAAAUUGAUGAAGAUCAUUGUUAUGGGGUUAGGUAAGGCAUACGAGAAUUGACAUACCUGCUCAGAUAAUGGAGCUCCAGAAUCAAUACUAUGACUCGCAACCUUACUUGCUAUAACAUUUGAAUCGGUCUCAAGAACAAUGCUGUGCAAAAAGAAAAGAACAUGUUAGUCCAGGUAGAAAUAGUAACCCUCUCCUGUAUAGAGGGUAUUAUUUGAAAAACAAAUAUGAAUACAACGAAAGGUAAACCACAAAACGUAACCAAGCUUAGGCAAGAAAAUACACUAUUAAACAACUUUCCACCAAAGAUACACUAUCAAACAACUUUCCACCAAAAAUACACCUCUAAGGAUAAGGUAAGAUCUCAAAAAUAUAGCACCGACGGCAAUCAACAAAUUCUUCAACUAGUGGCAUUCCCUUGAUAUUCAAAUCUCCCAUUUCAGUAUGAACUAAACAGCCACAGAUGAACCCCCCUGCCUACCAAACAGAAUAGCCAUUGCCCAAAACUAUACCCCAGCUAGUGGACUGGGAACAGCAAUCCCAAAUUGAGAUGCAAAACAUCCUAACAUGCACUACGCAUCAUUACCUUUGUUGUUAUAUCAUGCAAAAUCUUCAGUCUACUACUAAAAAUAAUGAGCUGAACCUUGGAAAUUUAAUUACCUGAAUUACACUACCAAACUUUAUUCACAUGAAGGUUUUAACUUAUAACUCACCCGCCAUCAACAAUUUCAUCAAGGCAUAGUAGAAUGAGGUCCAAAUUCUCAAGUGCUUCCUUUUUGUCCACAUUGCCUCUGCACAAAAGUAAGCCAAAAUGAGUAUCAAAAUCUGAUUACUUUAUAGUAUUGUCUACAAACAGAAGAGGUGAGAACAACCUGAGGAGAAUUCCAACUGCAUCAAAAAAUCCCUGAAGAACUGUGGCUAAAAUGAGCUCAUUUUCAUUAUCACCCCCAGUAACAAAAAAGUGAAGGUCUUGAACAAACUUGUAAACUACUAUGCUGUUCUCAAACAUCGCUAUCUCAGCUGCACUCGAAGAAAUUGUUACGAAUUAAAGAGUCAAAACAACAGAAUACCUCAUGCAAGGGAGUAGAAAUUUGCAAGAGCUAAACGAAAUUGACAACACUCAUAUUACAUAAAGAUAAAUAAUUAGAGCACAAAUUACCUUCUGUCCGUGCAUUUGUCUUUUGAGUUUUAGUGAAAACAGCUUUCUCAAAAGCUUCUUUUGCAUUAUUCGUUGGCCAGUCCUCUGAAUAAUACUUGACAGCUACACGUUUUCCUUCAGAAUCUAGGAGGAGGAUGUUCUUUACAGUAGGGCAUGACUCCUACAAAUAACAUCCAAUGAAGAGCUCAGAUAUUGCCAAAAGAUAAUAAGUUCAAUGCAGCAGUUAUUGUAGCAUUAUGAAUACUAGGAUAUACACCCUAGCCCCGUCCAAUUAAGGUCAGAUAUCUACUGAUUCAUGUUUAUCAUGGGCAAGCAAUUGCGUAUCACGCCUCCAAUAGUGUAAAAGCUUACAUUAUCUUAUUAUUUAACACAUUACUCUUCAAAGUUACAAGUCAACUAUCUCUUCCAUGUUAUCUCAAAUGCGAUACAACACCAAGUCCAACAAUGCUUCCAACAAGACCAGCCAAACAAGCAACAGAAUGGCAUAAUUUCGUGUUACCAGACACGAUUUCUAGCCUACGUUAGCAUACAGGAAAUAGAGAUAUUUUCAUAUCUAACACAGUGAACGCACAAAUUUUCUUUUGGGAAACCACAUCUGCCUUAUAUUGCAACCAAGAAACCCUACCUAACAAAUAUAUCCCCAUUACUGGCGCACCGUAAUCAUAUCCUAAUCAGCUUGCGCAAGCUUACUAGUUCCGUAUCAGCUCAAUUAUCAGAAAUUCAAUCAUAAUCCACUCAUAACACUACCUACAUUGUGCUCCACAUUCCUAUAACAUCAUCAAUCAAACCCAAAACAAGCAAACACCAAAACCUUACUACCUCAAUUGGCCAUGGCAGCUCAAAUUCCACCUAAACAUGUCAAAUUGAUCCCCUUUUUACCCUAAAUCACACUCCAUCACUGUCUCUCUUACAUUUCUCAGCAUCAAUUACAAUUCACAGCAACAAAACAAUCAAAGCUUGUGACUUUAUUAACAAAUUUCUUAGUUUCCGAUCAACAAUGCAUGCCUACACAAAUCUAUCUCCAAAAACUCGUAUUCCAAUUACGUCGUAGUUUCAGGAUCUGCAAGAUCCAGCUCAACCGACACUCGGAUCAAGAAGCUCACGGCAAACGUGGCACCAAACCCUAACCCUAGAAAUUACUACUUAUCAAAUCAACCAUAUAUAUAAGCAAAGAAAAAAAAAUUAGAGAAAAAAAAAAACUAACCAUUUUGAUCGGAGAAGCAGUUUUGAUUUUCUCAGAGAGACGAAGACGACGAACCCGAAAGUUUAUGUUUACAUGACACGUUUAUUAAUACCAAACCCACCACUCAAAUUUUGGUUAUUACUAAAGAGACCCCGAAAGUUUAUCUAUUUGUAUUUGGGACCACAAAGUUUGUGUUAAAUGGUUCUUGUUUUGCCAAUUUGCCCCACCGAUCUUGAGCUUAAAGAAAAUCCCAUAUUCAUGAGUCGAAUGUUACAGCUUCCAAUCCCAAAGGUGCCAUCUUUUUCUGUAAUUCAAUGUGAUUGUUAAUGGGUUUAGAUUUGGUUUUGGUAUUUGAGUUUGUUUUUGUGUUUGGUUUUUCAGGUAGCAGUAGUGUCAGUGUUUCAGAACCUGUUUGGAGCUCAUGGACGGUACUUUCCUGCAUGCCCUUUUAUUUGGUUUUGAUGUUUUGCUAUUGGGUUUAGCUAAUGUUUGAUCAGACCGGAUAAAAAUCUGAUCUUUUGAUUGUUUCUGCAUACCCUUUGUUUUACUGAUCUUCAUUCUGAUCAAUGUGAAUAGAAAGAGUAGAGUGGAAAGGAGUAUUGGGUUUAUUUGAUAGGUGUGCUACUUGUAAUGUGGUUGAUGCCGGAUUUGUGUUAUGAUGAUUACACUCUGUCUGUGAAUUGGGCUACCUAGUAUCUGUAUCGGCUGUAGUUGUAUUAUUGGGUGCAAAGUUUUCAAAACAUCCUUCAAUUUUAUAGUGAAAGAUUCUGUUUUUGUUUGGUUUAUUGACUGCUGACUGCAGUAUGCAUCCACUUUUCUUCUUUUAGAAUGCGUGGUUUUUGUAAUUUAGUACUCCGCUUCUUGAGUUUGUGAGAAUGAAUUCUGUACUUAAAAUACAGUUCCAGUAGCCGAGUAUAUGAGAUACUUCAGAACAAUGUCGGGGUGUCAUCCAGUAGAAACUCAGUUUCUGGAUUUAGAACUUUUUGCACUGGCCAAGGUGCGUCUAGACCUUUCAUUCAACUCGGAACUUCAAUUUAUAUACCAAAACUUUCCGAUUACUUUGAUAUAAUCCACUGAAAGCCAUGUUGAUGUCAUUGUUUCACACACAAUUGUUCGCGAAUUUCAGAUUCUAUAGCAUGGAAAGACUAAUCUUUCUACUAUGCAAUCACUAGUUCCUAAGAUGGAAAAGUUAAAUAAAGUCCCUGUUUUGAGAAAUUUGGUGAUCUAUCAGUUUGUCAACUUUGAGAUAUGCUUAAUCACGACCUUUAUCAUCAAACUUAAAAAUAUCAGUCCCGGUACUACUUUGGCAGUUAGGAGUAUAGGUCACCUACUGGUAGGUAAUGUCACUGCAAACCUUUUAGGAAUCUGUACUUUUCUCUCUGAUGCUAGUUAGUUAAAAAAAUAGAUGCCAUGAAUGUGUCUUAGUAUGUACAUUUGCAAUUCAGAUAUGUUUUUGAGUUGUUUUUGUUUUGUUUUUACUUGUGGGUUGAAUCUCUGUUCUUUCUUUCUCUGCUCCUUAAAAACUUUUCUGGCUUCCAAUAAUAUAGAGGCUCUUUUUCAUUAUAGGGAAGGAACCUACUGAUUGGUCUUUCUGACUCUAUGCUUAAUAUCAAAUUUUGUUAAUACUAGCAUUAUGAUUCUUCAUUGUAUAUCAAAUUUUAUUUCCGUAUCCAACGAUUUUCUGGCUUCAUUAGAUUUGUCAACAAAGAAGUGCGUGCCCUGCACCUCAAAGGAUAUGCGACCUAUGACUGAAGAAUCAGCAAGUAAUCUACUCCCGAAGGUUUGUGGUUCGCUGUAUUAUUAAUCACUUAAAGUAUAUGUGUUUCUUCUCUAAGGUAUGUAUUUGGCUUAGGUGGAUGGAUGGAAUUUGAUAAGUGAAAGUGGUUUGUUGAAACUGAAAAAGUCAUGGAGAGUUAAAUCCUUUACUAAAGGAUUGGAAAUGUUUAAGCUCGUAGCUGAUGUUGCCGAAGCGGAAGGUAUCUUAAGCCUCUUUUCUGAUUUCUAGAUCCCUGCAUAUAUAUAUAUAUAUACAAAGCUGUUCAGGUGCGGACGUCCACACCAAAGUUUUUGGUGCGGAUUUCUAUUUUUUGCACCACUUCCCGAUCGAAUUUCCUCGAAUUUCCUCAAAUUUCCUUCUAGACAUAUCUAGAUCAUCUCUGCAAAAUUUCAGCCAAUUUGGUGAUCGUUAAGGCCCUCAAACUUGCGUUUUUCUGUUAUAUACCUGAACCGGACAGAAUACAGGCCGUCGAUUUGUUUUUCGAUUUUGAGAGCCUUAACGAUCACCAAAUUGGCUGAAAUUUUGCAGAGAUGAUCUACACAAGAUGAUCUAGAUAUGUCUAGAAGGAAGUUUGAGGAAAUUCGAUCGGGAAGUGGUGCAAAAAUGGAAAUCCGCACCUGAUCAGCUGUGUAUAUAUAUAUAUAUAAUGAAUUUAAGCUGAAAUAGUUUAGAACAUAACUAAUCUGGAUUAGCAUCAUGAAUGUGUUUGUUGCAGGUCAUCAUCCAGACCUUCAUCUUGUUGGAUGGAAUAAUGUGACCAUUGAGAUAUGGACACAUGCAAUUGGUAAGGAGAUCCUAUGAAUGAAGUAACGUGAUGUAGUUGCACUUGUCUUUUGAUGAUAUUGUAUUGUUGUGCAUUAGAUUCUCUCUGAGAGUGUAGGUUUUCAUGUCUUCUAUAUUAUUAAUUUCAAUGUCCGUGUACCUUUCAUGUCCCGGACCAAUAAUUUGUCUGAGAUACAGCUUAUAAUCCUUAUAUAGAGUGAUUAUUCCUGAAGUUUUGACUGGUAAAUAGUCCGAUUAAUUCCUGAAUAAAUCUGACCUGCUGAUCGAAUACUUAAUUUGCUGUAAAUUUGCACCAAUUUCAAAAAUUUGCCAGCUGGAGAUUCAACUUACCAGAUUUUCUUCCAUACUGAUUUUGUAUAUUACGUUUACUGAAUGAUAAUAAUUCUUGAUAUGCAUUGUGCAGGUGGAUUGACAGAGAAUGACUUCAUACUUGCUGCUAAAAUCAAUGAACUUGAUAUGCAAAACCUGAUGAGGCGGAAAACUACUGAUUGAGCUGUGGGGAAAGCAUACCUAUGGAAACGGUUGAUAUCGUCACUUGUUCCUGAAAAGAAAAAUACGUAUAUCUUUUGGUGUAAAAUCAAGCAUCUGAGGAUGUACUGGUACAACAAGAAAUUCUUGCAAGUGUAUGAAGAUAUAUGAGAUUGCUGUUUCUUUUAUGCUUAAAGAUUGGCUAGAGUGAUAACUAACGAAAACUUCAUGAAUGACACUUAAAAAGGGCUGCAGCAAAAUCCUAUAUGGACAGAGAACAAAUUUAGCUAAGAAAUGAAAAUGCCAGCUUCAAAAGAAAAGGACAUGCAAAGAAUCACCAGGAAUACAAAUGCAUUAUACUCUACGAGCUAGUUCCAUCCAUGGUGCCACUCGACCCCUGUUUAAAAGCAACUGCCUUGUCCACAUCUGAGCCUUAAGACUAUACUGAGUAUACUCUUCACCAUCUUCACCUCCACUCUGCCACAGAAACUCAACACCAUAGUCCUUAGCAAGGUUUGCAAUCUCUUCCACACCACCAAUAUCACUGUCGACUUCAAGUUCUCCACACUUGCCAAGAUCCAAAACCUCAAGCUGUUUGCAGCCUUUCACUAGCGUGACGAGACUGUUCCCUUCAAAAUGACACUCCUCGAACCACAAGUACUUCAGAUUCGGCAAUGAUUCCACAAUAUUGCAGAUGUUUACCUUGUAAGCAUGAGCAAUUCUGAGACCUACAAAAUGCUUGCAGUGAAUACCAAUCUGCUUCAGGAUAUCGUCCAUAAUAGUUUCACGAGAAAAAACACCAACCCCCCUUGGAAACAACUCGUACAUCCUUUUCUUAUCCAAGUCAGCACGGAAUGUGCGAAUCUUCUUGAGGUUGCCACCCAAAUGCAAUUGCUCCAACAGCUUCCACUUCCCAAUCAGUUUCGCAAUAACCCUAGAAUGGUUAAAAAGUACUACAUCAUCUGGCAAGCUCAAAACCCUAAUCCCGGGACACGAACCCGAAACAUACCUCAAUGUUUCUUCAUUUAUAAAGCCAGGAAAUUUGAUCUCAACAACCUUCCCAUGACUCCGAGCCACUACCAUCCUCACAAAAGCAGUGAUGGAGAAACUAGUGUUCUUUUUAACUUGGCAUAAACCAACAAACUUGUAGUAAAAUGGCUCCAGACCAAGACUAUUGGGUUCGAGCAGUGGUAAAAACUCAGGGAAUGAGAGGGUUUGCCAGCACAAAGGAUCUAGGGUUGCUUCAUGCCAUGAUUUGCAGACAAAAGGGACACUCACAAGAAGUGAUUCCAUUCCGACUCUUCCAAACACAUUGAUUAAGCAGUCCAUCUCUAACUCCGCCCACUUUCUUCUUCCUGCAGUUUCUUUCAUUAUCUUACUUAGUGAUCGGAACUUCCGUUUUCUUCCCACGACGGGCGGUCCUCUCCGUCGAGCUGCUCUUUCUCCGAUGUUGGCCAUACUAAACCCUAAACGCUCAAAGAUAUAUAGAAGUAUAGCACCAAAAGAAAAAGAAAAAAAUAUAUAUAGAAGUAGGGAUCGAUAUAUAUAUACUGUAAUAUCGAUGAGUGAAGACAAUAGAAACUCACAUCAAUUAGGGUACUCACAUCCUAUUAUAUGAUUCUGUUAGGAUCAGAAUCUAUUUAUAAAAGGAAAACUAGGAAAUCAAAGGAAAAAAACUAAACAACAUUCAUAUCACUCGUUUAUAUCUAAUAAGAGAAGUUUACAGCCUUUAUAUAUCCUACAAAUCUAAAAUAACUACUCUAAUAACUACCAUACUUGGACCGAAUGGGCCUUGAGUUUACUACAACAAGUCUGGGCUAGGGGUCAUCAUUUGGCCCGCGGUCCUAAAAGCAUGUGGGCGGCCCGUCAGCCGGAAUGGCCAAAACCCGGUCCGACCCAUAGAAAAGUUCAUCUCGGCCCGGCCCAUAGGGCAUGAGACCGGGUUAGAAUGGAGGGUUCAAAGCCUCGGCCCGGCCCGUUACAUGCCCAUCAACGCCCGCCAAGCCUGACUCUAAAAAGCCCUCCCCAAAGCCCUAUCAAUUGUUUUAUAAAUAUUUUUAUGGAGUUAUUAGUUAAAUAUGUGAACUAAUUAAUGCAUUAAGUCAUAUUUUAUUUUGAUUUUUUAUUACAUUUAGUUCAACCAUUAACAAAUCUUAAACUUCCAUUAGCAAACACGUGCUCUUGUGGUCUGGAGCCGCUUGAUUCAGAUGAAUAAAGUUUAUUUAAGACCUUCAUGUAUAUCUCUGAUCCCAUAGAGAUGUUAUUAUGACCACAUUCAUAGGCUGCAUGUUCAGUUAUUCGGAAACUACCAAACUGACAAAGUAGUGGAGUUCAAUGAUAUCCAUUACAAGAGCAUAUCUCAUCGUAGUUGAUCCCAGUGCGUGUCAGUGAGAGACCUUAUACCAUAAGGUGAGUUUAAACUCUUGUUCUCACUACACUAUCUAACAAAGACAUAUUUGAUAGAGUUUAGUUUGCAGUGUCAGAGAUUUCACGCAUAUCUCUCUCAGCCUACUGGGUUCUUCAUCAUACCUUGUAGAUUUACCGACACAAAUCCAAUGGGCUAAUCAAUAGCAAGUAAAUCAUUAGAGCAAAGCAAAUCGGUAAAUUAGAUUUUUAUCAUGUAAAUAAGAUGUUUCUGUUAAUAUAUUCCCUCAGAUUCAUUAUAUCAUGUAAAUGUAUACUCUACGAAGUAGAUACAAAGUAGAGAUAUCUCAGAUUUAUCAUAUCAUGUAAAUGUGUUCUCCAUUAAGCAGACUAAGACACUAAUAAAGAUUAUGUUAUAGACUGAUAAUCAAAUCGCAAAAUCAUAUCAAGUAAAUGUGUUCUCUCUAUUAAGCACACCUUAAGAGAGAGGAUCCAUGAGCAAUGCUCCUCCAAGUGCUUAAGAGUUUAGAAGGAUGAGAGUAAUCUGCAUCACCAAUGUUACUGCCAAUAAAAUAUUUAUCAUAUGUCUAAUCUUUCCUUAUGUGGCGACAAUGACUUAUUUGUUCAAACCCUAUAUGGGCAAAACCACUGAACAGGGGCAACAACCGUAUUAGCACAAACCCACAAAGCAACAUUUCUUUACCUAUAAGAUAAACCAACGAGGCAGCAAUGGUUUUUUUUUUUGCAAUCUUUAUAGGAUAAACCGACGAGCCAACAAUGGCUUGUAAAUUUACAAUAUUUACAAUAUAACACGACAAAGGUAACAAUGAAAUUUUUUGCAAUCUUUACGUGAUAUAUUGACAAGGCAGCAAUAGAUAGUAAGCAAUCUUUAUAAGAUAAACCGAUAAAGCAACAAUGGCUUGUAAAUUUGUAAUCUUUACAAGAUAAACAGACAAGGCAGCAAAAUAAACCAUUUGUGUUGACCGAGGAGGCAACAAUUUCAGUUGUCUCCCCCAACAAUGCUUUAAUCUCAUAGGCAACAGUCAGGGACCGAUUCUCACAAGUCUUUUCAAAUCUUUCAUAUACCCUCAUUUCGAUGAGAUCAAAUGGCAGCCUUGUCACAAUUAAUUGUUACCUUGUAACAAUAAUUAAGGGACUGAUGAAAGAAGACACCCCCUAGAAUUUGAGGCAUGACAGCACGAAACCCAGUCAAAAAUGGUUCCUCAACCUCAAGAAAAGAAGGAGCACCAAUAUUUUGAAUUGAGAUUUCACGCAUGUCUCUCUAGAUUACUAGUUCUUCUUCAUACCUUGUAGAUUUACCGACACAAAUCCAAAGGGCCAAUCAAUAGCAAGUAAAUCAUUAAGGCAAGCAAAUCGGUAAAUCAAAUUUUUGUCAUGUAAAUCAGAUGUUUAUGUUACUGUAUUCCCUCAGAUUCAUUAUAUCAUGUAAAUGCAUUAUCUACGAAGUAGAUACAAAAUAGACACAUCUCAGAUUCAUCAUAUCAUGUAAAUGUGUUCCCAUUAAGCACACCUUAGGAGAGAGGAUCCAUAAGCAAUGCUCCUCCAAGUGCUUGAGAGUCUGCAUCACUGGUGUUACUGCCAGUACUGUUAGUAAAGUAUUUAUCAUAUGUCUAAAGGGGCAAAAACCGUAUCAGCACAAACCCACAAAGCAACAUUUCUCAACCUAUAAGAUAAACCAAAGAGGCAGCAAUGGCUUUUUUGCAAUCUUUAUAGGAUAAACCGACGAGGCAACAAUGGCAUGUAAAUUUGAAAUCUUUACAAGAUAAACCGACAGAGGCAACAAUAAUUAAGGGACUGAUGAAAGAAGAAACCACUCAGAAUUCGGGGCAGGACAACAUGAAACCCUAGUUAAAUAUGGUUCCUCAACCUCAAGAAAAGAGGGAGCACCAAUAUUUUGAUAUGAGAUUUCACGCAUGUAUCGCUCAGAUUCUUACUGGUUUCUUCUUCAUCAUAUUUAAAGGACUAAUCGAGAUCACAUCACAGGGACCAAUUGCCACUAAUCUUUUCAAAUCUUUCAUGCACGCUCAUUACGAUGGGAUCAAAUGGCAGCCUUAUCACAAGUAACUGUUACCAUGUAACAAUAAUUAAGGGACUAACAAAAGAAUAAACCCCUCAGAAUUCGGGGUAGGACAUCAUAAAACCCUAGUAAAAAAAGGUUCAUCAACCUCAAGAAAAGAAGGAGCACCAAUAUUUUGACAUGAGAUUUCAUAGAUGUCUCACUCAGAUUCUUACUGGUUUCUUCUUCAUCAUACUUAAAGGACUAAUCAAGAUCACAUCACAGAGACCAAUUGCCACUAAUCUUUUCAAAUCUUUCAUAUACGCUCAUUUCGAUGAGAUCAAAUGGCAGCUUUAUCACAAGUGAUUGUUACCAUGUAACAAUAAUUAAGGGACUGAUGAAAGAAUAAACACCUCAGAAUUCAGGGUAGGAUAGCAUGAAACCCUAGUCAAAAAUGGUUCAUCAACCUCAAGAAAGGAGGGAGCACCAAUAUUUUGACAUGAGAUUUCAUGCAUGUCUCGCUCAAAUUCUUACUGGUUUCUUCUUCAUCAUACCCAAAGGACUAAUCAAGAUCACAUCACAGGGACCAAUUGCCCCUAAUCUUUUCAAAUCUUUCAUGUACGCUCAAUUUGAUAGGAUCAAAUGGCAGCCUUAUCACAAGUAAUUGUUACUAUGUCACAAUAAUUAAGGGACUGAUGAAAGAAGAAACCCCUCAGAAUUCGGGGCAGGACAUCAUGAAACCCUAGUAAAAAAUGGUUCAUCAACCUCAAGAAAAGAGGAAGCUCCAAUAUUUUAACAUGAGAUUUCACGCAUGUCUUGCCCACAUUCUUACUAGUUUCUUCUUCAUCAUACCCAAGGGACUAAUCGAGAUCACAUCACAUGGACCAAUUACCGCUAAUCUUUUCAAAUCUCUCAUGUACGCUCAUUUCAAUGGAAUCAAAUGGCAGUUUAUCACAAGUAAUUGUUACCAUGUAACAAUAAUUACGGGACUGACGAAAGAAUAAACCCCUCAGAAUUCGGGGUAGGACAUGAUAAAACCCUAGUAAAAAAUGGUUCAUCAACCUCAAGAAAAGAGGGAGCACCAAUAUUUUGACAUGAGAUUUCAUAGAUGUCUCGCUCAGAUUCUUACUAGUUUCUUCUUCAUCACACUUAGAGGAUUAAUCAUGAUCACAUCACAGGGAAGAAUUGCCACUCAUCUUUUCAAAUCUUUCGUGUACCCUCAAUUUGAUAGGAUCAAAUGGCAGCCGUAUCAUAAGUAAUUGUUACCAUGUCACAAUAACUAAGGGACUAUGAAAGAAGAAACCCCUCGGAAUUCAGGGCAGGACAAUUUGAAAGCCUAGUCAAAAAUGGUUCCUCAACCUCAAGAAAAGUGGGAGCACCAAUAUUAAUUUUGACAUGAGAUUUCAAGCAUGUCUCGCUCAAAUUCUUACUAGUUUUUUCUUCAUCAUACCCAAGGGACUAACCCGAGAUCACAUCACAUGGACCCAUUGCCACUAAUCUUUUGUGUACCCUUAAUUUGACAUGAGAUUUCAUAGAUGUCUCGCUCAGAUUCUUACUAGUUUCUUCUUCAUCACACUUAGAGGACUAAUCAUGAUCACAUCACAGGGACCAAUUGCCACUCAUCUUUUCAAAUCUUUCGUGUACCCUCAAUUUGAUAGGAUCAAAUGGCAACCUUAUCAUAAGUAAUUGUUACCAUGUAACAAUAAUUAAGGGACUGACGAAAGAAUAAACCCCUCAGAAUUCGAUACACGACAUCAUAGAACCCUAGUCAAAAAUGGUUUAUCAACCUCAAGAAAAGAGGAAGCACCAAUAUUUUGACAUGAGAUUUCACGCUUGUCUCGCUCAGAUUCUUACUGGUUUCUUUUUCGUCAUACCCAAGGGACUAAUCGAGAUCACAUCACAGGGACCAAUUGCCACUAAUCUUUUCAAAUCUUUCAUGUACCCUCAAGUUGAUGGUAUCAAAUGGCAGCCUUAUCACAAGUGAUUGUUACCAUGUAAUAAUAAUUAAGGGACUGAUAAAAGAAGAAACCCCUUAGAAUUCAGGGCAGGACAGUCAUGAAACCCUAGUCAAAAAUGGUUCCUCAACCUCAAGAAAAGAGGGAGCACCAAUAUAUUUUGACAUGAGAUUUCAAGCAUGUCUCGCUCAGAUUCUUACUGGUUUCUUCUUCAUCAUACCCAAGGGACUAAUCGAGAUCACAUCACAGCGACCAAUUGCCACUAAUCUUUUCAAAUCUUUCAUGUACGCUCAUUUCGAUGAGAUCAAAUGGCAGCUUUAUCACAAAUAAUUGUUACCAUGUAACAAUAAUUAAGGGACUAAAGAAAGACGAAACCCCUCAAAAUUCGGGGUAGGACAUCAUGUAACCCUAGUAAAAAAUGGUUUAUCAACCUCAAGAAAAGAGGGAGCACCAAUAUUUUGACAUGAGAUUUCAUAGAUGUCUCGCUCAGAUUCUUAAUGGUUUCUUCAUCAUCAUACUUAAAGGACUAAUCAAGAUCACAUCACAGGACCAAUUGCCACUAAUCUUUUCAAAUCUUUCAUGUACCCUCAUUUCGAUGGGAUCAAAUGGCAGCUUUAUCAAAAGUAAUUGUUACUAUGUAACAAUAAUUAAGGAACUGAUGAAAGAAUAAACCCCUCAGAAUUCAGGGCAGGACAACAUGAAACCUUAGUCAAAAAUGGUUCCUCAACCUCAAGAAAAGAGGAAGCACCAAUAUUUUGACAUGAGAUUUCACGCAUGUCUCGCUCAGAUUCUUACUGGUUUCUUCUUCAUCAUACCCAAGGGACUAAUCGAGAUCACAUCACAUGGACCAAUUGCCACUAAUCUUUUCAAAUCUUUCAUAUACACUCAUUUCGAUAGGAUCAAAUGGCAGCCUUAUCACAAGUAAUUGUUACCAUGUGACAAUAAUUAAGGAACUGAUGAAAGAAGAAACCCCUCAGAAUUCGGUGUAGGACAUCAUGAAACCCUAGUCAAAAAUGGUUCAUCAACCUCAAAAAAAGAGGAAGCAACAAUAUUUUGACAUGAGAUUUAACGCAUGUUUCGCUCAGAUUCUUACUGAUUUCUUCUUUAUCAUACCCAAGGAUUAAAAUCUCUGCGAUAUAUCCUCCGAUAUCUCCCUUUUUCGAAGGACCGAUAUAUCUUUAGGGGUCAAUAUCUUAUCUUCCACCGUAUCUACGAUAUUUCCCCGAUAUUUAGGAAAUAUCUCCGACAUUUAUGAUAUUUUCGAUAUAUCACUGACAUAUUAAAAAAAUAUUUGUAAAAAAUUGAAAUGUUAUCCGGAAGAGAAGUANNNNNNNNNNNNNNNNNNNNGCAUGUCUCACUCAGAUUCUUACUGGUUUCUUCUUCAUCAUACCCAUGGGACUAAUCGAGAUCACAUCACGGGGACCAAUUGUCACUAAUCUUUUCAAAUCUCAGAUUCUUACUGGUUUCUUCUUCAUCAUACCCAAGGGACUAAUCGAGAUCACAUCACGGGGACCAAUUGCCACUAAUCUUUUCAAAUCUUUCAUGUACUCUCAUUUCGAUGGGAUCAAAUGGCAGCCUUAUCACACAUAAUUGUUACCAUGUAACAAUAAUUAAGGGAUUGAUGAAAGAAGAAACCCCUCAAAUUUCAAGGCAGGGCAACAUGAAACCCUAGUAAAAAAUGGUUCGUCAACCUCAAGAGAAGUGGGAGCACUAAUAUUAAUUUUGACAUGAGAUUUCAUGCAUGUCUCGCUCAAAUUCUUACUGGUUUCUUCUUCAUCAUACCCAAGGACUAAUCGAGAUCACAUAAGGGAUUGAUGAAAGAAGAAACCCCUCAGAAUUCAGGGCAUGACAACAUGAAACCCUAUUAAAAAAUGGUUCGUCAACCUCAAGAAAAGUGGGAGCACUAAUAUUAAUUUUGACAUGAGAUUUCAUGCAUGUCUCGCUCAGAUUAUUACUGGUUUCUUCUUCAUCAUACCCACGGGACUAAUCGAGAUCACAUCACAGGGACUAAUUGCCACUAAUCUUUUGAAAUCUUCCAUGUACCCUCAUUUCGAUGGGAUCAAAUGGCAGCCUUAUCACAAGUAAUUGUUACCAUGUAACAAUAAUUAAGGGACUGAUGAAAGAAGAAACCCCUCAGAAUUCGGGGUAGGACAUCAUGAAACCCUAGUCAAAAAUAGUUCAUCAACCUCAAGAAAAGAGAAAGCACCAAUAUUUUGAUAUGAGAUUUCACGCAUGUCUCGCUCAUAUUCUUACUGGUUUCUUCUUCAUCAUACUAUUAGCCAAAAAUCCACCAAGUAUAAGGGAUACAAGUAAUAGUAUAGGGAUUUAAGGAAGGUUGUCGAACCGACGAGGAUUGGAUUCUUUUCACUAGCUAGGGAGUUAACCUUAGGAGAGCUAGAAUGGGCAAAUGUAUAAUCACAAACCUAAACACACAAGAAAAUCUAGGCUCAUGGUGAGUAUGUGCAACAUGGAGUAGUGAUUUGAUUUUGGGUAUUUGAAGUAGUUAACUAAACUAAACUAGAUGCUCAAAUGUAAACUAAAUUACUCUAAACUAAACUAGCGGGAUAAUGGAUGAAUGAAGUUAGGAUUUGAAUUGUCUACCACUAACCUCCCUUGCAAGUAUUGAUGCAAAUCAAAAUGAAUGAUGCUAAGUUAAUCAACCAAUUUCUCUCCUUGCAUCCCUCGCGGGUAUGACAAGGGACAUGCUCUUUUUGUGGUAUCAAGCAACCCCUCUCGGGUAUAGUACUUAACUACUGUCAUGCAUUUCAAUCUUGUUAGGCAUCUAAUGCAUUACCUUAAGUGCAUAAAGUUUGGAGAUGAAGAAACUAUGCAAACCAACCAAGCUUAUCUUUAUCAAGCAACCCCUCUCGGGUGUAAUACUUAACUACUGUCAUGCAUUUCAAUCCGGUUAGGAAUCUAAUGCAUUACCCUAAGUGCAUAAAGUUUGGAGAUGAAGAAACUAUGCAAAUCAACCAAGCUUAUCUCUAAGUGAUUGUAAUUCACAACCCCUACAUACACACCUAAUGUGCUUUCAUGCUUUAACAUUCAAAGGUUACCAAGCUCUAAACAUCAUAUCAUAUCAUGACAAACACACAUACUCAAAGUGGUAAAUUCUAAGCAUAUGCAUUCAACUCUUGAACUAGCAUGUAGGAAUGUUAACUAAAAUUGCAUCAAAUCAUAAUAUAACAUCAAUCCAUACAAGAUUGGUUAGUGUUUUCAACCCUAACCCCAACAAAGUACUACUCACUCAUAAUUACAUAAACAAACUUCAUAAUCAAAUUAAACAUCAAAAUAGAUCUAGAGUUUAAGAGAGAGAGAGUUGGCUUAGUGGUGUGUUGAUUGAUCCCCAAGCUCACGUCUUGGUGGUACGUGGUGGUGAUGAAGGUGAUUUCCUCUCCUUCUUGCUCAUGUUGUUUGAUGACAAGAGAUGGUGAAGCUUGAUCUAUGCUUUGUGUGAAUAGGUGGAGUGGAUGGAGAAAAUGGUAUAGAUAAGAGAAUGGAGAAAUGGUGUAGUGGUGGUGGUGUUAAUGGAGGUUUGGGUAAGAGAUGGUGGUAGUGAUGGAGGAGAUAGAGUAGAUUGGGGGAGGAAGAGGAAAAAGAUGGGUUUGGAUUUUGGGAGAGGGAGAUGGAGGUUUUGUGGUGGAAAAGAGAGAAAAAGGUAGAGAGUGGUGAAUGGGUGGAUGAUGAAUGUUGUAGUGGAUAGAUGUAUGUUUAUUAUAUAGAAGAAAGAUAAGUGAAAAUGGGGGAAUGAGAAAGUCAAAACAGCCCCCUUCCCUAAUUCAACUGUAAGGGAGAAGGAAGAGUGUGAGAGUGUCCAUGAAUUGCCAAAAAAAAGAUAAAAAUGUAGGGAAAUAAUCGCAUAGGUUAGAGUAGGCAAUGAUGAUGUUUAAAGCAUGGUGAUGUCUAUUAUCCAAAGAGUAAUAGAAUGAAUUUCAUGUUGUUACUCAAUCACCAUUAAUCUCCUUGCUCCUCCUUUAUGGUGACUGGAAAAGACAUGACACCACCAAAAGAGGUGGUGAGCCGUCAUUUGUGCAGUCAAUAGUGGUGGUUCGCCGGAAUCCGAAAAUCUACGUUUUGCUUCACAUUGGACCGUCAUUUUUCCUAGCUCCGAUUCUCCAUGUUAAUGCCAAAAAUGCAUAUUUUCAUCACUCUUGCAAUAUUCCUAGAUAAAUAGAAAAUGAUUUAGUGAAAGAAAAAAUGAACUCAAAAACAAGGCAAAUUCAAUAUUUAGGGGAAUGAAAAUGUGUGUAAAUUAUGGUCUAACACAUACCCAAUGGACUAAUCGAGAUCACAUCACAGGGACCAAUUGCCACUAAUCUUUUCAAAUCUUUCAUGUACUCUCAUUUCGAUGGGAUCAAAUGGUAGCCUUAUCACAAGUAAUUGUUAUCAUGUAACAAUAAUUAAGAGACUGAAGAAAGAAUAAACCCCUCAGAAUUCAGGGCAGGACAGCAUGAAACCUUAGUCAAAAAUGGUUCCUCAACCUCAAGAAAAGAGGGAGCACCAAUAUUUUGACAUGAGUUUUCACGCAUAUCUCGCUCAGAUUCUUACUGGUUUCUUCUUCAUCAUAUUUAAAGGACUAAUCGAGAUCAAAUCACAGGGACCAAUUGCCACUAAUCUUUUCAAAUCUUUCAUGUACCCUCAUAUCUAUGGGAUCAAAUGGCAGCCUUAUCAAGUAAUUGUUACCAUGUAACAAUAAUUAAGGGAUUGAUGAAAGAAGAAACCCUCAGAAUUGGGCAGGACAACAUGAACCUUAGUCAAAAAUAGUUCCUCAACCUCAAGAAAAGAGGGAGCACCAAUAUUUUGACAUGAGAUUUCAGGCAUGUCUCGCUCAGAUUCUUACUGGUUUCUUCUUCAUCAUACCCAAGGGACUAAUCGAGAUCACAUCACACGAACCAGUUGCCACUAAUCUUUUCAAAUCUUUCAUGUACCCUCAUUUUGAUAGGAUCAAAUGGCAGUCUUAUCACAAGUAAUUGUUACCAUGUAACAAUAAUUAAAGGACUGAUGAAAGAAGCAAUUGUUACCAUGAAUGUUGUUUAGCAGUGUUUCUUGUGAUCGGAGAACCCCUCAGAAAAAUCUUAGGGGUUACUUGAAAGAAGAAAGAUAGAACUAAAAGAAGUAACCCCUUAGAAACCAUGAAAGUUAUGCAGGGUUACUUGUGAUCGAAACCGUAAAAAUCUUAGUGAUCAGAACUUCCGUUUUCUUCCCAUGACGGGCGGUCCUCUCCGGCGAGCUACUCUUUCUCCAAUGUUGGCCAUACUAAACCCUAAACGCUCAAAAAUAUAUAGAAGUAUAGCACCAAAAGAAAAAGAAAUAUAUAUUUUUUUUUUGGUCAAGAAAAGAAAAAUAUAUAUAGAGAAGUAGGGAUCAAUAUAUAUACUGUAAUAUCGAUGAGUAAAGACAAUAGAAACUCACAUCAAUUAGGGUUCUCACAUCCUAUUAUAUGAUUCUGUUAGGAUCAGAAUCCAUUUAUAAAAGGAAAACUAGGAAAUCAAAGGAAAUAAACUAAACAACAUUCAUAUCACUUAUCCAUAUCUAAUAAGAGAAGUUUACAGCCUUUAUAUAUCCUACAAAUCUAAAAUAACUACUCUAAUAACUACCCUAUUUGGACCGAAUGGGCCUUGAGUUUACUACAACAAGUCUGGGCUAGGGGUCAUCAUUUGGCCCGCGGGCCUAAAAGCCCGUGGGCAGCCCAUCGUCCGGAAUGGCCAAAGCUUGGCCGACCCAUAGAAAAGCCCAUCUCGGCCCGGCCCUUAGGGCAUAAGGCCGGGCUAGGGCGGAGGGUUCAAAACCUCGGCCCUGCCUGUUACAUGCCCAUCAAAGCCCGCCCGGCCUGACCCUAAAAAGCCCUUUCAAUUGUUUUAUAAAUAUUUUUAUGGAGUUAUUAGUUAAAUAUGUGAACUAAUUAAUGCAUUAAGUCAUAUUUUAUUUUGAUUUUUUAUUACAUUUAGUUUAAUCAUUAACAAAUCUUAACUUUUUUUUUAUAAUUUUUUUUUUAUUUGAUAAAAUUCUAUUAGAUAUAUGUAUAUAAUAGGCCGACCGGCCUGGCCUAUCUAAAAAGUCCGACUCGACCCAUCUAAAAAAGCCGGCCUGACCUGGCCUAUAAGCCUGUAAGGCCUGGACAUGCGGGUUUUGAUAAUUUUUUAAGUUAGUCCCAUCCUGGCUCGGCUCUAAUAAAAAAUAAAAUAAAUAAAUUAAAUAAAAAAAACAUAAUUGAGGCCCGACCCGAGCCCCUAGCCAGGCGGGCGUUUUUUGAUGAUCAGGCUAUGCCCAGUACAUAAAAAGGCUGUGAAAUACAUCACCUACGUACAUAUGUGAAAGAGGAAUACGAGUUAGUAUCCUAACAGAUUCAGUCACGUUCUCUUCAGUGGGAUUGAGUUGGGCAGUUCUAUCUCAAUUACAGGGAUUUUAACGUACCAAUUAUAUUUAAGGAAACAGAGAGAGUGGUUAAAAAGGGAGAAGGCCCAAGUCCAAGACCCUAGCCCAACUAGAUCCCAGCAGCCGCAAGAAUGGCCGAAAACUAAUCGGAAGAAAGUAGAAACUAAAUAUAUAGUAAUAAAUAAAUUUCCUUUCAGCAGAUGUGCCCUUAAUACUGGAGACAAAGAAAUUUACCGGCACUCUUUAUCAUUACACAAUUAACCAACUGAGAUAUAUAGCACAAAACAUGAAAACUACACGGUGGUCGACGGAUCCGAAAUCCCAUCAUGCAUGAACUUCACUAAUAGUUGAAGCUAGACUUGCUUGCUGUAGCACUCUUCUUAGUGUAGACAGACUUGGUGACCUUGAGCUGUGUUUUGUACUCGGUGGUGUAUCCCUGAGUUUUGUCGACAUACUUGUCUAUCGAGGUGUACUUGGCCUCUUGUUUGUAGCCGGACUGCCCACUGCGGUUGUCCACGAACUCUCCUUCCUUGUAACUUUUAGUGAAGUUACUUGAAGCCCCACAGUACUCGUCGUUGUACGAUGACUUCACCUGGCUUUGCAUUUCGUCGGCGUUGAUGUUUCUCGCCGGAGCAACAGUUAUGAAGCCGCAAUAAGCCUUUUUCGUCAUUCUGUAACUAUAUGAAGACGUGGGUUGUGAUCAUAUGCAAAGAGGGUCUUGUCUUUUAUAUGGUAACAAGUCGGAACAUGGAUAUUAACUAUGAUUUAUGAAGAUGUGGGAAUCAAGAACGUAUAUUGUGAGGAGAGGAGGGGUCUUUUAUCUGUUUGUUUUGAGAACAAAGGUGUAAAUGUCAUUAUCGGUUAUGGUGAAAGAGACCAUCCAACUUUCCCAGUUCUUCAGGUGAGAAAGGAGGGGAAGUUGUUUAACCAAUACUAAUACUAAUGCAUGUCAUACAAGUGUUGUUUUAAGGUUUUACAGUGCAAUGUUUUUUCGUAUACCUAUUUUCAGUUUGUCCUUUAAUGGACUCCUAAAUCUCAAGAAUAAUAAGUACCAUUUAUAGUGCAAACCUAAAGGCUAAAGCUAUGAUUUCUUUAAUUUUUUGAAAUCCUGAAAAAAGUGAAUUAUCAUACUGAACAUAUAUAAGUUCAAUUGUCUGAUAGGAAUUUGCUGCCAGCAGAUAAAGGUAGCGAUCUUUGAAUUGAAACGGCCGGCAUAAAUGCAAAUAUGAUGAUUUAGCAGCUAAUAAGAAUAUAGAGAAACUAUGGUUCGUGCAUGCAGCAACAAAUGAGUUCAAAAACCAAAGCAUGUCUCGACUUUAAUUUUGGUGCUGGCUUUUGCUGGGUCUGUUUUAUCAUUGCUGGGUAUAACCAUUACAAAACAAGGAUGGGUUUGGAAAAUACGUAUAAUCUUUUACGCCUUAGGUGUAUUUAGAUAUUUGUGGGUAUUUAGAAGAACGAAAAGAGAUCGAUGCUGUAGAGCAAGACUAGUUGUAUAACAUUAAGAAAACAUUACUAAGAAAAAAAGGAUUACACAUAGUAAACAAAAGCACGUACGUAACAUAAAUAGAUAUAGAGCAGUGGAUACCAUAGAUCUACUACAGUCUAUUCCCAGGACUCUAACCCAAAGAGACUUCCGUUAAUUCCUUCCCCUACAUCAUUGGAGAUACACUAUUAAUUAACCAUGCCCGCAAUUUGGACAACAGCAUCGGCAGCUGCAACAACAGGUGAAAGAAGAGGUAUGAGCGUUCCGACUCCGAGCACUGGAAGAAUAACAGCAGCUACUGAUGCAGCAGCUGAAAUCCAACGGAAAACCGAAACAAAAGCCCGAAACCACGACAUUGUGACUCAAGGACGACUUCAACUUUACACUCUAGAUUAGUAGACUGAUAGUGAGUCUGAAACUGUAGGAAAGGCUGUUGAAUGUAGGAGGUUUGCGCACUAUAUUUAUAGCAGGUAAUUUAGAUGGGAACCUGUGCAGCUGAGCUCUAUCGGUCUCUUCGUUUAGUGUACCUCUAAUGAACACAUUUAAUUACUUCGAUUCUUUAAAGAUUAACGGCAUGCGCGCGCAUGCGUCUUCAUGCACUGUGUUUUGGAAAUAUGAGACUUUCAUGACAUAAUUACUGCUUCUAGUUUAUUGUGAACGUCAUAAUAUUAUAUUUGUUGCCUUACCCACAGUUUUAUUUCCCAAUUUCCUCUCUUGUUUUUCCAAUUCGCCGGUGAAGAUCAAUUUGGAUUAUUUUCAGAUUUAACAAGAUUGAUUGAUAUCCCUGACGAUGUUUCUAGUUUUCUUUUCCUUUCUCUUACUGGGUUUGUUAUUACUAGCUGAUUUUUAUCGCUGAAAUAGGUUAAUCUCUACACCUCUGCAAGACUGCAACAAACCCAGCAGCACCCUGAUAAGAAUUUCUCUAUUGGGUCUCCUUCUACACCCUGAUGACAACUUUCAACAUUUAAUUUGGUUUUGAUUGAUUUCAAUCCAAAACUUGCUGCGGAUUUCAAUCCCAAUUUUUGUUCGCCUCUUUUGGUCUCAUCAGAGGACGGAGGAGGAAGUUGAUUUCGGUGGGAGAAAAUUUUUUUUCGAUGAAGAAGCCAGUUCUGGGAUUGAUUCACGAGAAAUAAAGAGAAAAUAAAGAAAAAUACUUUUUCAAAAUUAAAAAUAAGAUUAGAGUUAACAGAGUUAUUGUGGUGUUAGGCUAGCGAUGAGAUGUCAAAUUUUAGUUGGUGGCACAGGGUUUUUGGGCAGAGGUGAUGUGCUUCCCCUUAAGAACUAAUUGGAAUAAAUCUUAGCAUCUUACGAGUAGUUAAGACUCAAGAGGCCAACAAAAGGCCAUUUUGCAUUUCUUCUGGGGCUUCUUCUGAAUUUACACCCUGCUCAUAUCCUAUAGAAUGUUCAUUUUGUAACAUUUCACAGUUGUUCACAUCAUCAUAAGUAGUAGUAGUAGUAGUAGUAGUAGUAGUUUAACCUGCUUCAAAUGAUGUUAAUAUAUUAUGCUUCAUUGAUUAAUGAUGUAAUCCAACUUCUAAGAGGUGAUUCUGCAUGCUGAGGUCCUCACUAGACUCGACAGCAAAAUUUGACAGCAAACCUGCAAAAUCAACCAAACCCCAUCAAAAUGUAGUCACUACGCAGAUAGGAAGUUACAUAAAUGUAAGAAUCACUGUGCCAUUACAGAAUCAAACAACCGGGAAACCCUUACCCCCCCCCCCCCCCCCCUUUUCCUAGUCUAGAAAAGCUCAGGUUUAUCUUCCUUUUGUCUGUACAUAAGUUGUGGCUCGUCUUAAAGAUAUUGAAAUGAUCCUCUCAGUAAUGGAGGUAAUCUAGAGCAUGACUCAUAUAUGAAGACCUUAAGGUUACAAUGUCAGGCCAGUUUAUCAUACUAUACCACAGUAAUUGAAAUGCCAACUCCAUGUCUCCCAAAGGAUACAAGGUUUAACACGCAUUGUGCAAUAAAAGAAGAAUAAUGACACCAGGAAAACCCAGCGCACAACUGCACAACUGAAGUUCCAACAUACCAUUCUAUAUUAGUCUAAUAUCUAGGAGAGCUAACUCACUCAAACUUCCUUUCAAAGAGCAGGACCUCUGAUACCAAAUUGUAUUACUAGUUUACCUUAUACGAGUUCUUCCUAAAUUAUCAAGCUAAGUGGCCCGGAGAAAAGUUUUAUCCAUUUUUGAGAUAUUAAUAUACCCAUAUGAUCAAAACCUUAAGUGUGAGUACUGAAAACCCAAGGCCAUCGCCAUGUCUCCAAUAGUAUCCAGCUUUAUCAUACAUCAGAUCUUGCACUGUUCAUUGUUAGAAUGAAUAUCUUUUUCAUGUCUGAAAUUAUAGAAGAAUCAUCUCACCAGUAAAACCUAGCAAGCACAGUUGAAGUUCGUUUAUACCAUUCUAUAUUAAUCUAAUAUCCAGUAGAACUAACAAAGAAACUCAAAUGUCACAAAGAACAGUAUAUGUGCUCUAGGAAGUUGCAUUCACUAGUUUACCUAAUUCGAGUUCUUCCUAAAUGACUAAGUCAAGUGUCGCAGGAAAAAAGUUUUAUUCUUAAAUAAAACCGGUAAUUACAACACCCACAUUGAUUGUAGUUAUGGCUGGAGUUCAGAAAUUUAGUGUAUUCCUGCUCAAGCGGCAGAUGGGCAAUGCAAGUUGAAUGUGAUAUGUUCACUGCUCUGUGCAUUUCAGCUUAUGUUAUUGUUGCCCAGCAUAAAGAUCUCACCUAAUUCAAACCUUACAAGCAGAUACCUCAUCUAAUUUCUCCAACAAAAGAUUUGAAUGCCAUAAUAUCAACUAAAGAACAAUGCAGCUCCGGAUCUACUUCAAGCAUACUUAUAUUCAGCUAACACUACAACUACUCGAUGCAAGAAUAGAAAUGCCGAAAAAUACAACCAUAUUAUCAAUGUAGUGUACCUGAAGCUUGAAGCUCAUCUCAAGACAGGCUUUUGCAGAAGAGCAGUCAAGUAAACCUCCCCAUUCUUCUCAUUCUUACUCGCCGUCGCCCACUUCACUCUCCGGUACCCCAACUUCCCAAUCAACGGCCCGAAAACCUUCUCAAGAUCCACCCCCUUGCUAAAGAAAUGAUCCAACCACAAGUACCCUCCUACCCUCAACACCCUAUCCGCAUCGUACAACAAAAACUCCAACGCCGUCACCGGAAUCCACCUGUUCACCGCGUGCCCGCACCGCACCAGAUCCAACACCCCGUCAAACACGGGGAACCGCUGCUGCAGCGGCACGUGCAGCGGCACCAGCCCCCUCAGCGCCACCGCCUCGUUAUUCGGACUGCCGAAAUUCAUGGUGGUGGUGACAACUGUCACAUUGUAGAGCUUCAUCCUGGCGGCGAAGGUCCCGGUGCCGCCGCCGACGUCCAGCCCGAGGCGGAGGACGGCGCCGGCGGCCUUGGCGAUCUGGAAGAACUGCGGGAUGGGGAGGUCCAGCUCGGACUUGUAGGUCAUGAAGUUGGAGAGCUCGUGGCUGAAGUCGAAGCCGGAGCUGAGGCCACGGCGGUUGAGGCAGCUGAAGCUUUUGCAGGCGUACUUGUCCCAUAUCACAUUCUGAUCCGGGAGAGAGGGAGGGAAAGCGUCGUGGGAGAGCGAUGACGUGGGCUUCUGCGGCGUUCUGGAGAAGCAUCUCCGGCGGGGGAGGGGGUGGCAGCCGCGGAGGAUGAGGCUCUCGGCGACGUCGUCGGCGUCGGCGGGGCAGAGGGAGAAGGGAGUGUAGGUCAUGUACUUGUUGAGGAGGUCGGGGUGGUUGUGGCAGGAGGAGGCGAUCGGGGAGAGGCGGGAGUAGAGGAGGAGGUCGGCGGAGGAGGCGGCGGCGGCGCGUGGGGGAGGAGGGUGGUGGCGCGUGAGGUGGUUGAUGGUGGCGCGUAUGGUUUGGAGCUGGCGGAGGAGGUGGUCGGGGACGGCGGUGUUGGGAGGGGUGGGGGAUUGGAUGGUGGAGGAGAGGUGGUAGAGGGAGAGGAUGUUGGUGGCGACCAUGGCCAUAAGCAGAAGCAAGUUAAGACCCAUUGUGAAACCCAUCUUUGGAAAAAUUGGGUUUCAGAUUUGGAAAGAUUUGAGCUUUUUUCUUGAAGUCAGUGAGCGUUUGACUUCAUAGUGAAGUAAGCAGCUUUAUUAUUACGGUGGAAGCAGUUGCAGAGCCCAGUUGGGGUUAGAUUUGUAAUUAGGAGGAAGUUUGGGGGUGGAAACUGGGAAGAGAGAGUUGCAUCACUUGCAUGGAUUUGGAUUUUGAUUUGGUUUCGUUUGUCAUUUCGUGGGGUUAGUUGGGUCAAAAGUGUGAAAAUAAUUAGAGUGGGAUGGACUGGAGGCACGUGACUUGUUGGACCCACUUGAACCUUUUUACCUUUUUUUUUUAUUAAAUGGGAUUAUUUUUUUUCAUGCAGAAUCUAUUCCAUGAUUUUAUAUUCCUGCCUUUCUGAUUCCAUGAUUAAGAGAAGCAUUUACUGUUUUCCGGGGACGGCUGUUCUUGAGUCCGACGAUGUGUUUAACUCCGGAACUAGAAAGAUGUGUUUUAAUCCGAGUCCUGUAUCUUGUAGCGAAUCCUGGUAACCACAUAAAGCAUUAGAGUGAUUGGUUUAUUUAUGAAUAUAUGUUACAUGGAGUUUAAUUGUCUUAAUUCAUACAGAUCAAUGAAGUCACACUAAACACGUCUUUAGAUUUUCUUACCAAAAUUUUAAAAUAAAAAGACAAGCUUUUAUGAAGCAAAGAACACCAAAGUUAUGAGUGAAGGAUAAUGAAGAGAACAAAAUCACAUAGAAGUGCAAACUAAGAGUUGAUCUUAAGUUUGGCUUUCAUAUAUUAUCAUCAAAUCAAGUGAGCGUACACUAUUGCUUUACGCGAUACUGUUUUUCAGUGAGCUAUGAUAUGUUAGUAAGUUAUAAAUCCAACAUAUCAUAAGUUGGAAUAUUCUCACUCAUACAUUUAAGUUGAGUGAGUGGUUAAGAGUUUUUUGAAGUGGUAAAAAUUAGCUUCUACCCUUUAAUUACAUAAGUGAUAUAUAUAUAGUUCCAUUCAAGACUAGGACACCGUUUUGAAAAUUAAAAUAUGGUGUUCUUCAUUUCGCUCAUUUUUAGGUCAUAUUUUCACAUCUUCACCGUUCAAUGUCUAGAACAUAGUGUGUAGAUCAUUCCUGUAAAAUUUCAUCCAAUCUAGAGAUCAUUUAGGUACCGAAUUAGAUUAAAUGAAUCAACUGAACAAAAUAUGUCCAAAAUCUCCAAAUUGGAUUACCCUAAACGUUUAUUAAGACUCUGGAAACAAAACUGGAUUGUGUUCUACUACUACGUGUAUAGCAAUGGGCCGAUAUAGGGACGAUACAACCUAAAUGGAACGAAUCCAAUGAACUGGGCUUUUUCGUUCUUGUUUUUCUAUACCAAAGCUUAUAUACACUUUCUGAGUGCUGCGUGCAACAGUACAAUCUGUAUAUAAAGAUCUCAGACUCCGCGUCCGACAAACGCAAACGCAAACACAAACACAAACUCAAACUCAAACUCAGCCGGACUUAGAUCUAUCUCUACUCACAACUUGAAUCAAUGGUAAAUUCUCUCCCUCACUUUCAGUUUUCCUUUUACUUCCCACUAGAUAAUUUUGCCAUACUUUGAAUUAGGGCUAUGAAUGUUUUUAACUUUUCAUAUUCAGAUUUCCACUAAUUAUAUAAAUUAUAGCUGGGUUUUAAUCAAUCUGUACUCUUUUAUGGUCUUCAAUAUGGAUUGGGAGCUGAAAUUGAGUAGGCUGAUAGUACCCAGAAGCUUUGCGGUCUUUUAUAUAGUUGUAGUUAUCUGGGUUAGCUAUGUUAUAUUGUUAUUGGGUUUUCUACUACCAGCCACAGAAAGUAAUCAACUUUGAGGAAUUACAAUCACUAGAGUUUGUGAAACAUGGUCUGAAAGAGUUAGGUAGUUAGUUCUAUACUUCUAUCCUCCAGUUCAGGCUCAUAAGUAAUGGGUUUGGAAUUGUGCAGGAGUUGGCUCAUGUAAUGAUAAGUGAAGUUAUGAACCUUUUGCAGUCUUGUAAUGCAAUUACGGUGCUUUAGAAAGCACACAGAACUGUAUGGUUUAGUUGUCUGGUUUGUCAAGCAAUGAACCAGUUCAUGUUCUCAACCAUGCCUGGCUAGAUAUCAAAGUUAACUUUUUCAAAUUGAUCGGAUAACCAGAAGCACUGCCUUCUUUCCCUUGUUUUUCUUGUAAGUCUAUACAUGUAAAUGAAUGGAAGUCAAAGACUAUAUGUUAUUUAUAGUUGGCAUAUUAUUUCAAUUAUGUGUUUUUUUUUAGUAUGAUUGGGUUUGUUAGCUAUUUGGUUUCCCUGUCAUUGGAUGUUCGUUCUUUAACUUUAUGAAUUCCGUUAUUAGGCUGAUCCCGAACUCGAAGCAAUCAGACAGAGGAGAAUGCAGGAGCUUAUGGCUCAACAAGGCGCUGUAAGUACAACUUAGUUUAUCUGAACAUCUGUGCUACAAAAAGAGGUUGUCUUCUUGGCGCUUUUGUGCUGACCUCACUACUUUAUAUUGAUAAGCAGGGAGGAGCCCGAGGGCAGCAAAAUACUGAACAGCAGAAGGCAAAUGAUGAUGCCAAGAGGUUGGGUUUUAAAUUAACUUUGGGUGUUACUUCUUUUUCUUUUGUUCUGAUAAUGUUCUUAAUAAUCUCAUAACAUAAGGCAAAUAAAUGUAGGGAGGCAGAAGAACGGAGACAGAUGAUGCUUAGUCAGAUUUUGUCAUCUGAAGCUCGUGAAAGACGUAAGUUGAUAUCUGAAAUUGGCAGUUGAUUUUCUAAUUAGUUUUACCCUGUAUUUUCCUUUAUUAGUCAUCUAUUAAGGACAAAACUAUUUCUGAUUUAAUAUGUUUGGAACUUUGGAUCACUGUUAUUGACUAGUAAAUAUAAUGUAGAUGUCUUGGAAGGAUAUUUAGUUUUUUCAAAACUAAGAAUGACGGAGAAGAUGCUAUCUUGAUAAGUUAAUCUGUGGCAACGAUCUGUUGCAGUUCAGUCAAAUGCAUAAUAAGUGCAAUUCAUAACUUGGCUAGGGUACUUAUACAUUAUCUUAUACGUAAUGCUAUGCAUUUGUAGUUGCUCGAAUUGCUUUGGUGAAACCUGAGAAGGCAAGAGGUGUUGAAGAUGUCAUAUUGAGAGCUGCUCAAAUGGGCCAAAUAGCUGAGAAGGUAUGGUUUAUGGUUCUCACAUCCUCAUCUGUCUUAUGGUGGCCCAUAGUUUUCUAUUUUUCUCGCACCAAAGCUUUCAUAAGAGCUCAUCUAUAGAAGAAACAAAGUGCUUAGAAUUCAAUUGUCAGGUCUCCGAAGAAAGGCUUAUUUCAUUGUUGGAACAGAUCAACAACCAAACAACCAAGCAGACCAAAGUCACUGUAAGUUUCAAUUCAUGACGACCUUCAUUUGUUUCCAUUUCCAUGAUAAGCGAUUCUGAUUUGGCCUUGUGUUGCUUUCCGUUUUCCAGAUUCAGAGGCGUAGGAGUGUUCUCGAAGAUGAUGAUUGAUUUGAAUUUGUGCGUUACAGUUGAAGACUUUGGCUGUAUAUUGAAACAUAAUGCACUUUGAAACAUAAUGCACUUGUUAUUGGGUUGUGAAAUAUUUUACUGUUCUUUCUUCAAUCUUGAUAUUCGUGAUAUGCUCUAAUACAAUAUUGUAUGGGAAGAAAUUUUUCACCAAUUAUUGUUUGAAGCCUUGUGAAUUUAAUUGAAAACUGGUCACUUGGAAUGGAAUAACAUUCUAAACUGAUUACUACCGACUCUCAACGCUUGAUUCUAGAUUUCAUUUUAUAUCAAAAGGUUUACCCUUAGUUGUGUUUUUGUGGCUUAGAUUUCAUUUUAUUAGAUUUCAGUCUAACAGGGAUACAUAACCCCUGAUAUUUGGUGCACAUUCAUGUCUGCGUCUGGUUGAUUGACUCUUAUUUUUUCGUGUUUGGUGUGAGACCAAAAGUCCAAAACUUCCGACAUAUGAUUCAUUAAACCAUGUUUCCUAAGAAAUAUAUAUCAGAGGAGGUAGUUUUUAUAAAAAUACAACAAUGAUGGAGAAAAAUUGAGAGAAGUUUAACUGAAGUUGAAGACAUCAAAAGGGUUAGCAACCUAAAUACUAAAAACAAAUGAGAGAAUAUACGUCAGCCUUAAGCACCAUUUGUAAGAAAGAAUAACCGUUAGAUGACACGAUCAGAAACUGAAGGCAACCAUUUGAUUGGAUAGGACAUGACACACGAGAUUUUUAUGAGGGAAAUCUGUAAAUUAUUUCACGAGUAAAACAAAUACAGUGUAAAAGAAACUAGGUAUUACAAGACUUUGAGAGAAAUCUUGAGUGAAGAGUUGGAAUCAAAAUCUUGUGUAAAGAUUUUGAAAUUCUGAGUAGAGAUUUUGAAUCGAAGAUUUGAGUAAAUACUGGAAUUUGAUAUGAGCACAAAGUGCUAUGUUUAUAAUGUAUUUCCUACCCUAUUUAGUUAUAAUAUUCUCAUAAUGUUAUUUCUAACAUGUUUUGUGAUUGUAGAGGCAAUGAAUCGAGAAAAAAAGGCUAAAUCGCGGAAAUAAGAGAAAAAUACAGAAAAAGGCAAAUAAGCCCUUCUUGCAGUCCAAGGAAGGAAGGAGAAGUAAAUUUGGAUUCUAAUUCCAAAGAAUGAAGGAGAAGUAAGUUUGGAUAAAAGAAAAGAGAAAAGUCAAACAUGUGCACCUAGUCCCACAUUAUUUUGGAAGAAGAAAUAAAUUUGGAUUUGUCACACCCCGGUCCCGACGUCGACGGGUUUUAAGCACUAGACGUCGAUCCUGAGGCGUGAACGAGUGUUACAAAGCGAAAUGUAAACAAAAGUACUAUCUUCUAAACUCGUCGUCUACCCUUUUCCCGGCUUGGUACAACCUAAGUACUUUUUCUGCAAAAAAUAUUAGAAAUGGAUGGGUGAGCAAAACCACGCGCUCAGUGAGUAGACCAAUGUAAUAUGCCCGCAAAGCCAUGUCAUUUUACACACGCUACAAAAUACGUAUAUCGUAUACACAUCACUUCACACAAUUCAUCACAUCGCACAAUCCCUUCUUAUUGGAUAUCCUUCAAUUUAGUGAUCCCCAUGGGAACCUAAUGACCUUCAAGUCUUAUACCUCCGUGUGUCACAUCCUUACUUCGGCAUAACCAAUCAAGAAGUUCACAUGUUCCAUGACUAAUCAAACAAUGGAUCCAACACAUAAUUAUAUAUAAACACUGCAUAUUUUGCAAAUAGACAUGGUUCACUUGAAAUAGAGAGAUAUUUCGUAAAUAGAUCAAAAUCAUGUUUUUCGACUAUUGUGAUAACAAAUAAGAAUAUUUUAAAUAUAUUACACAAAUCCACUCACCUCGUCAACACGAAUCCCUACCAAGAACAUCGAUUGUAAACCGAGCCUCCUAAAAUGAGUCAUCUAGAAAUCACCGUUGGAUCUAGCUCAAAAUUCUAGGAUAGAAAGAGGACAUCGAUACGUACCCGUAGCAUCUCGCGAAUUCAGAAUCGGAGUUAUGGAUCAAAAAUUAUAAUCCGCCAAAGUUUAGUCGCAAAUCUAGAGAGAGAAACUAAUUAAAGANNNNNNNNNNNNNNNNNNNNNNNNNNNNNNNNNNNNNNNNNNNNNNNNNNNNNNNNNNNNNNNNNGAGAGAGAGAGAGAGCGUCAGAAUUGAGACUUUUUUUUUUAGAGAAUUAUUUAUUAAGACUUGAGAGAGAAAAUUGGGGAAAAAUUAAGAGAUAUAGAGAGAGCGUACGUAUGUAUUCUGUCUUUCUUUUUGUUAUUUUAUACGCGUCACACGUAUUUUUAACGUGACGCACUUCCAGCUAUAUUAUUUGCAUUUUCUAUUAUGCCCCUACUUAUUAGUAUCUUUAUAAAACAAAACAAAAAAUAUUAAUAAAGGGUAAAACUGGUAUUAUCUGAAAACUGAAAAUAACUAUCCUCAUUUCCUAUUUCAUUUUUUUCUACCAUAUGCUCUCAAAUCUAUCGCUCUGCCAUAAGUUCUUAAAUCAAUCUUUUUGCCUGAAAAUCAAAUUUAAAAAGAUUCUCAUAAACCCUAAAUCAUGUACUUAUAUAAUUGCACCCCCGAAAAAGGUUCAAAUUUAGACCUAGUCUUGAAUCUCUGUAGCCUAACUCUUUCUUUUGUCUUUGUUAAUCGACAUCAUCAUGAUUUCGAGUUCGAAAUCGAAGCCUCAAUUAAGUAACGAGGCAUUCAAUGUAAACAUUAUUAGGCUAUUAAGUAUAACAUAUCAUCUUGCUUUAAAGGAUUCCAAUCGGAAGUGGUAGAGAACAGUUUCAUUCAGCUUGUUUUCACUUCUGCUUAUUUCAUUAUGUGUUUACACACGUUACCUUCAGUUUUUAGUCAAGUACCAAAAACCAAGAGCUUUUCCUUUCCUUAGAGGAAUCAAAAGCAACCACAAAAUUAAAUAACAAUGAUAUAAAGAGCUCAUAGCAUAUGAUCCAGCUGAUAAACCAGUUGAGAUCUACAACAUGAAUUAAGAGAGCAAAAUCGUGUGACCGUAUCAACAUCGAAACAACUUAAAGUCCACUGCAGUGGCACAGAAAUCAUUUGAGAAGGGUUCUGGUUAAAUGUUCUCUUGCAACAGCCCAUGCUUGAGUUAUAGUCUGCAAAGUUUGAAAAUUAGGAAAGCAGGAUUAGAUUAGUUUCUACUUUCUACCGCAUUUUAAUUGAAAACACUUUUGAGUAUCUGAAAUCCCUAUUAGCAGUACCUAGAAGCCCCUUAAUCUAUUUGGUUUCAACUAAGCAAACGGAAAGUUUUGCAUUACCUGCUCAGCCAAUGGUGCAUCAGCAUCCAUGGUAUGAGUUGCCACCUUUCCUGCGAUAAUAGUUGGAUCUGUUUCAAGUAUCAUCCUGCAAUAUAAGUCAAGCACAUGAGAUCGAUGUAUAAUCAUAUACUCGAUGACAGAACUAAGAUCAAGAAUCUUAUUGCACACCCUCCAUCAACAAUCUCAUCAAAGCACAGAAGUAUGAGAUCUAGGUUCUCCAGUGCCUCCCUUUUAUCAACAUUGUUCCUGCAAGUAGGACAAGCAUGAAUAUAUAGCACAAAAGGUCCAAGAUAAAUAAUGUUGAAAGGUAAAAGGAGUUCAAGGAAAAUGUUAUGACGUCCAAGUCUACCUCAAGAGAAGGGCAACUGCAUCAAAGAAUCCCUGAAGGACAGUGGCUAAAAUGAGUUCGUUUUCAUCGUCACUUCCAGUCACAAAGAAGUGAAGGUCCUGCAUAAACCUAUAUACAACAACGUUGCUUUCGAACAUCAUUAUCUCCGCUGCAUAAGAUAUACAAUAGCAAAUUGUAAAUUAAGGUACUACAAAUGUGGUGAUAUAACAUGACUUCCUGUAGCAUAUCGACAACAUGACUUGAAUGAAAUCAUUGUUUUCAUACAUUCAAUCCUUGCAUUUGUCUUAAGAGUCUUAGUGAACACAGAUUUUUCAAAAACUAGCUUUGCACCAUUUGUUGGCCAAUCAUCCGAGUAAUACUUGACCGCCACACGCUUCCCUUCAGAGUCCAUAAGAAGAAUGUUCUUCACAGAUGGGCGUGAAUCCUGGAAAAUAUAUAAAGGUGGAUCAGAACAGCAUGCAUAAAGAUCACUCAAUACAAAUUCAUACGCAGUUAGCCUAUAGCUAAUGAAUUCAUACUUUCAUCCAUAAAAAUCAUAUUGUGCCAAAAGUCUGUCUAAUCUAACUAAGGUUCUAAUAAUAGAUCCUGACUAUAUCCUUGGAUCUUAAAAUCUGAUUGAACAUCAGUUACAAUUGGCCAAAUCAACAUAAUUUGUUAAUAACUUAAUACACAUCAGUUGGUGACUUCAGCCUUCAGGUAUCAAUUUUCAAGCGUAAAAAAGAUCUAUAAUUCAAACUUGAUCGUUUUGCUCGUAAUCAGAGGAACUUCAAAGAUCUAUUGACGUGAGCUCAAAAUGAUCACAUCUUAUUUCCCAAUCAAUUAUACUAAACAAAUCGAUAGAGGUAAUAUGGAUUGGAAAAUGAGACUUACACGGUAACCGAAGAUACACUCCAUUUUGAUGUAAUGAUGAUACCUGAGACUUGGACACUUCGGUUCAGAUAUAUAUACCUUUUUCUUUAGAGGAAUGGAGAUGGGUAGUUUUGUCAGUUUAUUUAACUUUCUUCUACUGCUUUCCAGGAAAAAAAAUAAUUUUGCGUCUUGAUUUAUGUUUCAAAAAAAAAAUAAUCAAAAGUACGCAGUCCUGACUGUCUGAGAUAAUACAUACAAUUAAGAUUAUUCUUCUAUUUUACAUCUUCUUUAAUCUUGAUAGAUUCAUGUAUGUACUAUAAAUUUAUAUACAAUCUUGAUAGAUUUACUCUUCUUAUACCAUAGAUUUAAAAAGGAAGAAGAAUGAUGUCAUAUGUGGUGAACGGAAAGCCUUGGUUUUUUGGACACUAUGUCUGUAAUGGCGAAUGUUUGUAUGACUGUCUGUAAUGACGAAUGUUUGUAUGACCCGGCUAGCGAGUGUACCGAUCUCAACAUUCAUUGAAUAGGUUGAGAUAUUCCGAUUACCAUGACUAGAUAUACGAUGACGAUGGAUGGUUGGGGAAACUCUUGGUUAGGUGGAGCAGUUGGAUGAGAAUGAGAUUAAAUAAGACACCAGAGCUAAGGUCAGACUGAAUGGGAUGAUCCACCCUGACACCUAUUAAGUUGUUUUGCAUGAUUCCUUUACCAUGAUUAAGAUGGUGGAUUAUACUCUUAUCGUUGCCUUUUUUUUAAUAACUUUUUUUAAUAACUGACCUCAUUAUCUCAUAUUCAUAUAUCGAUUACAUGACUUGCAGCUCUAUUGCUAAUCUAAUUUCAUGUUCCUUCAAGAUAACAAAAUAUCUUCAAUAGUCAAUACACGACAUUGCCGUGUAUCUACAACAAACGAAAAAAAUAUGAAAAACUUGACCAUCAACGACAAACGAAAAAAAUAUGAAAAACUUGACCAUAUCGUAUGGGAAGUUGCAAAUAAGAAAAAAUUUCGAUACCUCACGGUCAUGACGUAUAUAUAUUUUGACGAAGUGAUUAACCUCCCAGGUUCCAAAGUCGCGCGUGAUCGUAGCCUCCUCCUCUGAACUAGCCGAAUCUCCUGACUACACUCACAUCUCAACCUUUUCCUUUCCUUAAACUCCCACAACCUUUGUACCUCUCCAAAUCUCUUCUCCACUUUUGCUUUUUUGCUUUGUCUCUUCUCCCCACUUCCCAACCAAACCAAUCACAUUUCCUCUCUCAAAGAUCACACCUUUCCCCCUAAAGUUUCAAUCUUUCACUUUUUCCGGCGACACCCAACUCCCCGGAACCACUUUCCGGCCGACCCAGAAUGGACAAAGAGCCUCUACUCCCCUACACAUCAAGCCCACGAAGAAAGCUCCCAUCUUUAACCACCCUCUGGCCUUUGCCGGAACACGACGAAGUCCCCGUCCCCUUAACCCCGUUGGAGUUUAAAGACCGCAUCAUCUUCGGCUCCCCCGCCGCCGCCACCGCCACUUCUUCUUCGCCGCAUGACUCGUCUCCUCUGGUCGACGCCCUCACUCUCUCUCUCAAUUCUCCAAGACUCUCUUCGAGGCCCACAUCCUCGUCUUCUCUACUGGACCCCACCACCGCGCCGCAGCCGCAGGGGGACCCACAAACGCCGCUGAGCUGGCUGAUCGACCCGAACUACUCAUGGACCAAGACCAACCUCCACAGGUCCAAGACGGCUCCGGCAAUGGCGGUUUUGAACGAGGUGAACCGCCGGGCCGGGCCUAAGCCUCAGAUGAGUUCACAGUCUAUUGUGAGGCAAGCUGUGAUUCUUCUUAUUGCGUAUUUGACAUUAGGGGUGACUAUAUAUUGGUUUAACCGUGAUAAUUUCGAAGCGAGUGAGACUCACCCUGUUGUGGAUGCUCUGUAUUUUUGCAUUGUGACAAUGUGCACUAUUGGGUAUGGGGAUAUCACACCCAAGACUACGGCUACCAAGCUGUUUUCAAUAAUGUUUGUGUUGGUGGGGUUCGGGUUUAUUGAUAUAUUGCUUAGUGGGAUGGUGUCAUAUGUGCUUGAUUUGCAGGAGGGUUAUUUGCUGAGGAGUGUGAAGGGUGUGGGGGAGAAGAAGGAGUCGUAUAUUAUUGAUGUGAAGAAGGGGAGGAUGAGGAUUCGGAUGAAGGUGGGACUGGCAUUGGGGGUUGUGGUGCUUUGUAUUGGUGUUGGUGCUAUGGUGAUGCAUUAUGUGGAGAAGUUAGGAUGGUUGGAUUCGUUUUAUCUCUCGGUUAUGUCUGUAACGACUGUGGGGUAUGGUGACCGGGCUUUUCAGUCUGUGCAGGGUCGGUUGUUUGCUUCAGUUUGGUUGCUUGUGUCCACACUCACGGUUGCUAGAGCCUUUUUGUAUUUGGCUGAGGCAAGGGUGGAUAAACGGCAUAGGAGGAUGGCAAAGUGGGUUCUUGGCCAGGAUAUGACUGUUUCCGAGUUCCUUGCUGCUGACAUUGACAAUAAUGGGUUUGUGAGGUAUGUGUUUUUACCAAACCUUUUGACAUUUUGAUCAGAUGAGUUGUUUGAGAUUGUUGGCUUUGUUUAAUUGACCUACAAUGAUGAUGGUGUAAAAGUUAUUUACUUCAUAGAUUGCAUUGUUUUGCUCUGAAUUCUUUAUGUGCUGUUUAGUUGUACUGCAUUUACCCAUUACUUUAGGUUUUGUAUGAAAGAAACAUGAAUACAUGUUAAGCAACUUGUAAUACAUUUUCUGCUUUGUUAGAAACACAGAUGAUCACUCCUUUCUCUAGUUAUCAAGUAUGAGAUUGAGUGAAGAGCCCUUUUUGUAAUAUAACUGCCCAGAAUUAGAUAGUUUAUUUUACAUUUUCCAACUUCUAUAAGUUCAACUUUGUGGUUUGUACUCAUAUGAUGCCGAAUAAGACAUCAGUUAUUAGAUUGUGUUCAAAGUGUUUCAGGGUUGGUGUGUCUUCUCAUUUCUUGGUACGUGUAUGUGUGAUAUGAAGGAGACCAAUGAAGUCAUUAAGGUGGAAUAAAACAGAUAAGAAUCAUAAGAUACUUUAGGUGAGUCUUUAUCAUAGCAUCCCCAUAAGCACAAUAGUCGCUUCUUUGGGAUUUGAGCAAGUCUUAAUAACAUAAUGCCACCACAAGUGAUACAAUACGUAUAGGACUCUGAGCACGAAAUUCAUCAUAGUGAAAUUUGAUUAGGGUGUCUCUGAUAAGAAUUGGCUAUAUGUUUUUCUCUUAUAAAUGAUACACAUUUGAUAGUGGGUAUCAACUCCGGAUGCGUAUGCUUUGGUAUCUUUCUGCCCUUUUGAGUUUGAUGUCAGGUUGGUAAUGGGCAUAGUCUAGUAAUGUUCAGUUUUGCUUGUGUAUUGAACAUCAGAGUCUGUACGUUCUCCACUUUGAGAAAAUUGUUUGGUUUCUCAUGUGAAGAGAAACAUUGUGGACAAGUCUGCAAAUAAUUUUGGAUGCCACAAAGUCAGGGCCUUGUGUCUAAGUCCAACUGAUCUGGGACAUAUGAACACUUGGUAGCAUAUGAAAUCUAUCAUUGCCAUUAUUGCAUAAUAGGCCCUGAGAACAGAGUAUAUGAUCUGAAUUGCAUCUUUACUUCAGAGCUGUCUUUUGCCCACCUUUUCAACUAAAGAACAUAUCUACGAACCUCCUGCCCUUUCUUGUGUUUGGAACUCAUGUUGCACAUAUCUCUCGUGUUCUUUAUGGACAAAAUGAUUACUCCUGCUCUUCUUUUUUGCAAUGUAAGCACUACUACUUUCCUGAUUCUUUUCCUCUAUUUAGAGGCUCCAAAGACAAAUUCAGUCAAUGAACUUAUUCUGUACAUGGUUGGCUCUUAGUAGAUGUGGCCAAAGGUCAAAUACAAAUUGUGAAGCCUUAUUGAACAUCCAGCACUGCCAACUUGGGUGUAUAGGCUAGAACUACUAUUGUAUUGCGCCUUUCUUCUUCUCCUAAUUAGUAGUUACUCAUAUUAUUUUGCAUGUUCUUGAGCUCAGUAAUCUGAUUUGGUGUUUUAUAUGAAGUACCUAUUAUAACAAUAGUUUGGAUGACAGGUUGAAAGAGGUACCAACUUACUAUUUUUCUGAAACCAGAGUUCUUAUUUGACUGCCCAACUUCAUAAACUUUUGAACCAUCAUACGUGAGUAGUUUAUGUGCGUUUCAGAUAUUAUAAUGUAAAAGUGAAGCUUGUUGGUUGCUAUUAACCAAUAGUUGAAGAGUCUUUUUCAGUCUGAAUAGUGUAUCUGAAUAAUCUGGAGUCAACAGAUUGCAGAAGAUGGGGAUUAUUUUCAGAUAACAUGCAUAUAAUCUGCUUCUUUGAACAUGCCUUAAUACGUUUUAACAUUUCCAUUAUCUGUCUAUACCAUUAUUUUCUACAGAAGUAUUCCAUACAUAUUGGAAUGCAAAGGUUUUGCUUUAGAUUUCUUGCGCAUAAAUGUGACAUAUUUUUUUUUAACUAAGAUCUAUAUGGAAUGUCUAUAUUGGUAAACUGUCUAUGAGUUGCAACUAAUAUAUUGAUCAUUUAUAGUUAUUAUUUGUGUAUGCUCUUAGCAGUCAACCUUUUGCCAUUAGUGACCAUGAUGUAUUCUAGAAAACUGGAGAUGAACCCUGCUUAUGAUAUUCUCAGUGCUACCGUACUAGGCAAUAACGUGGUUUCAACCAUUGUUUUCUUGUUGUCAUGAUUUAGUUAUGUUAUCUAGCACACCAUGAUAGCUUAACAUGGUGUGCUAGUUUCCUUGGCUGACUUUAUUUGUGUGUAUAUAUAAAUAAAUAAAUAAUUAAAUAAAUCUACGUCUUGUUGGACUGUCUUUGCUUUGUCUUCAGCACCUUAAAUUAUUUGCUUGCUUAUUUUGACUUGCAGUGAUCCGCAACUAGGCAAGUUUUUGUUGGCUAAUGAUGUUGUUCACUUGUUUGUAUAUGCAGCAAGUCAGAAUAUGUGAUAUACAAACUCAAGGAGAUGGGAAAGGUAUCAGAGAAAGAUAUUAUGCAGAUCUCCAACAAAUUUGAUAGGUUAGACUCUGGGAACUGCGGAAAGAUAACGCUUGCCGAUCUUAUGAGUCGUCAUUGAUAUCCAAGCACCUUUUAUUCCUUUUCCUCAUGGUACAGCAAGGGAAGAAAAUACGUUAUCUCAUUGAACAUGACGUAUAAGAAGCCUGAUCUUUAUGUAGGACUCGCCGUUCAUAUACAAGUUGCAUACACAUGAAAUCAUGAAGUAUGAACUCUGCUGCCUGAUCAAUUGGUCCUCCUUUCUAUACAUCCUGAGCAUCAGCUUGGUCGUUCUUAUAUGAUCAGCUACAUCGAUGCAUUUCUUGAGUAAUACAAACAAGCUAACAACAAAGGUUAUUGCAUAUUCCAGAAUUGCUCAAGUGACGGGAGAAGUGAAACAGAAAAUUGAAAUCACUUUUUUGAGUCUAGACAGAAAAUAACUGUUGACAUAGACUGGCUGUCCUUGUUUUUCUUGGAGAAUUUUGAAGAUUAAUAGCUUAGAAAUCAACAGUAUGUUACUUUUGAUUAGAGUUGAGCCUGUCCUUCUGGCUUCCAAUUGUAAAUGAUUGCAGCUUUGGAUCAAUGAAGGUGAGGCCUUGAAUCAGCACUACUAACAAACCACAAGAUUUGUUUUUAAGUUGGUUGAAUAGCUUGAGAAGGGUGAAACAAUUUUACAAAUUGGAAAUUAUCGCAGUGUGUGACUGUUUGAUUUGGAUAUGGGUUCCUGAAGUCUCCUCUAUCUUUUGGUUUAUUGGUGGGGGAGAAAAUGAAAUGCACUCAUCAUAUUUGAUCAUAAUGAACCCAAAAGGUGCGAGUGUGUAACUACCUCAACUCCUGGUUUACCACUUUCUGUCCCUACUGUCUCAUAUGUUUGGUAUGACAGAAACCCUAAUCUUAUAGUAGAAGAAGAUGAAAGGUAGUCAGCCUUGGUGACCAUGUUGGUAUCAAAAGCUUGAUGAUCAAACCAAUGCCAUUCAUAAUCUAUUGCGACUUUUAUGGUAAAAUUGAAUUGAAAGUAGACUAACUACCUAUAUAUAUUGCUUUAUUCUUGUCCUCUACAAAAGUUCCUUUCAGAAGUGUUGAACAGGACCUUUGUUGUUACUAGAAGAACCUUUCCUUGAAGCUUUCUAUAGCAAUGCACAGAAAGCUAGUUCAUACCUCUAAUAGAGUAAUAACAAGACGAACAAUUAGACUGUCUAUUGGAUUCUAAUGAUGAAGUAGACUCUCCUCAGUGUUCUUGAUCUUGAUCUUGACUGGGAAGCAAAGACUGUGUCCUUUGAAUUCAUAGCGUUUACCCAUAAAGGAGAACAAAAACUUGAAAGAAUGCAAACUAAACUAAAAUAUACCAAGUCAGAUUGACUCACUGCCACUCAUGACAAGCAGAUGACUCCAUCAAAGAAGCAAUAAGUUUCUGAUUUGGUAAAUAAAGGUCAUUUGCUUCAUUUUUUAUUCACCAGUUAGUGAAAUGGUGGGGGUAUUUGCAUUAGAGAAUUCAAGUUGGAGAUUAUUAGUUUAAAGGAAAGCAGCAGUAGUUGUUAGAACCAGUCGUGGAGGUUUUUGACUUGUUCAGGAAUCAAUCCACAAGGGUCCUUUCACAUUUGAGGAAGAGGUUGGCUUUUUAGUUUUUACACCAAGUGAUGAAGGUUAAGACAAAACCCUUGUUGGGUUUUGCUUAAUUAAAUCUAGCAAUUUGGAUCAUAAACCAUACUUUUAUACUUGGAGCUUCCUAAGUGGAGUAGAUGGUGAAUGGUCACUUCAGGAUGUUGACUUUGGCCUCCAAGUCAAGAGGGAUCAUUGCUAUCAGGACUAAAAUAACAUUAGCCUUUAUAUGCAGAUAACAUAUGGACUGUGAUUACUGGAUUACAUGAGUGUAUAACAACUAAUAAACUAGAAAAUAAAUGAAAAUUAUUAUAGCUUAAUUUUAUCAUGCAUAGAUGUUUUCUGUAAGAAAUGAAAAACUAAGAGCUAUCAUGUUACGGAGGACUGUCAGGACCCGUCUCGAAUUUCAUCCUAAAAUCUGAAAUUUAUAAAAAAAUAUUCAAACUCAACUACUAAAUUAAUAAUCCAAGCUCAAAACCAUAAAUCAUGACCAACAAUUAAUUAAUGCAUCAAACUCAAAUAAUUUUCAAAAUCAGUUUAUAAGCCGAAGUUAUAAUAUAAGCUCGGAAAAUAGAAUGAUAAAUUAUAAAAUCUUGCAUGCAUAUUUAUUAAAAUCAAAGUGUCCACUCACAAAUUUAGGCAUAAACCCAACGAUAUCUGAAUCGUCACUCAAGCGAGGUCUCCUCGUAUCCUGGCACAAUAACCAUGCUUAGGACCAAACUUCAAUUCCGAAAAUAAAUAAUUCAAUAUAAACACCAAAACUCUUCCGCUUAACCCAUUACCCUUACUAGGGUUAAGCUUAUCGGAUGCAUGCCAAACUCUAUCACAUCCUUAAUUCAUCAAUUCUGCAAGCAUCUACGACAUUAGAUUGCAUGCUUGUUUUUUAUUAUACAUUAUGCAUGAAUUGGAGUUUCUGUAUGCAUUAUUCGUGAUCUAUAGAUACAUUCUCAGUUUCAUGUAUAUGUCAUAGUUUCCAUAUACGUAGUUGAUAACAGAAAUCAUGCUUACGAGUUAGUAGAUUUUUGUAUCAGAUGAGAUACAAUUACAUACAUUGAAGCUAUAUCAUCAAUUAUUGAGUGUUUGAGGAGAUAAAGUUAGGCGCGCACACUGCGCUUUUCGUGAUGCAGUGGAACUCUGAUAUUGGCUAUAGCAAGCUUCCUAAAUAGGGUGGAACCUCUGAUGGUAUGCAUGUGACUCGAUAAAGUACUGACCGAGUCAUUCAUUUCUUCCAAUGUAUAAGGUGAUAUUAUGUUUAUCCUAACUUUGAUACCUGGCUUCGGCUACAAAUUAAGGUAAUGGACUCGCUCGUUUUUCAUGCUUGGGCUAAAAAGGAUUGCAUUAUUAUCACAUCAAAAAGCUGACACAGACAUCGGAUUGAUUAGACCAAAAUGGAUCAAGUUCGAAUCCGAGUUCAGAUUCCUAAAAGAAAAAUGACUCGAUACAUCUUAUUUAAGACGGAGAACAACAAACUCAAAAUUUUUUUUAACGAUGAUACAAUAUGUAAUGAUCUGAAUACUAAGUAGGCCAUUGGAACAAGAAAGUGUGCCACUUAAUACUGAUUAGGCAGAUGAUUAGACAAUAGAGAACAAAAUAGUUUUAUACACAUGUUGCUGCUGCUGAUGUGCCCUAAAUCUUAGGGUUUGGUGCAAACCCAAAUGUGUCGAUAUCUCAAAGAUUCUUUUUACGGUGUGCACACCUAACAAAAAACCUGCCCUCUUCUACAUCGAUAGGGACUUCCAUUACCAAUUUUCAUAUAUAAAUACCAAAACCAAAGUCCUUAAACUUAUGUCCCUUAUAAUCGACGCAACUAAAAUUAAAUUUAUAGGUCAACAAUCUCAAGCUCUUUGAGCACAAAUCCCUCUUUAAGUCUCCCCUCUUAAGCAACCGCCCCAAAAUCCAAACCCAGAUCACACAACGAGAUUGAUUUGCAAACUUUUGAUUUGAAUCAUUUCACAAGUUUUCAUGUAUACAACUUUCCGUAAUUCAUGUAUUAUUGCUAAUCCUUUUGAUUAAACUAUGGUUAGUCAGUACACAGGGUUUGCUACCCUUCUUAACUCGCCACUAAUCUUCCAAAGUUAUUAUUUAAUUUGUGAUGGAAAACAUGAUCGAAAUACUCAUUAUGCACGAGUGGUCAUUGUUCACGUCAUGUUUUUUUUAUUUCUUUCUUUCAACACAAAUCAAAACUAUCCUUGCAUGUGACAUGUAUCGAUAUAAGUUAGAAAUAUUUGUAGGAAUAAGAUCAAGUAGAUAUACUAUUUAAACUACUAUAGCGGAUCGUACUUUUAUAUAUGAGUAAAUUAUAUGGAACAUAUGCUCCACCUUCAUGUCAAUAAAAAUUGAGCAUAAAUCACGGUUGCGAAGUGGGUAAUUUGUACAAAUAUGGAUGAACGAUUUUAGAAUUCGAGAAAAAAGAAUUCAUUAUUUAUGUUAUAUUUUGACUAAAUCCUUUGGUUGUAUGUCAAUUACAAUCAUAACGUACUAUUUCUCGUUGCACAACACAUCUAAUUACAAAAAUGCUGAUGAAAAAAAAAACAUUUAUAAACAGACUAAUGUCACUCUCAAGCAAAGUAGCUUUUGGCCCUUGAAUUUUCCCUUCCUUGACCAAAUUUUCCCAAAACUCACAAGUGAAAUAAUUGAAUUGGUCUCUCUAUCAUACUUUCAAUUGGUUUAUGAUGUUUGCUAGCUACAAAAGCUUAGUUUUGUUGACUAUACAAAAAAGCUACAAUGUUAGAUGUGUAUGCAUGUUUCAUCCUCUUACAUAAAGUAGGCGGUGACAAUCUAGCAAAUCCAACAUGUUUAUUUAGCACCUCAAUUUUCAUAAUCAAUUUUCACCAAUGCAAUAAUUUCCAGCUUUCCGCGAUGUAACCAUUUUUCUUUUCUCAAAUCAUGGUGUUUGCACUCCACUUUUGAUUAUGUGGAUUUUGAUAAAAUACUAUAUACACAAACUUAUGUAUAUAUUUUCCAAUCCAAAUUAAUGAUUCUACCAAUCGAUUCUAUAUUAUUAGGGUUUUAUUUGUGUUUCCAGCUCAUUCAUCUUGAAUUUACGUUGAUCGAAUCAUAUAAACUCAACACGUAUUUUCUAAAUUAAUUAUACUGUCCGUUUACGCAAUCACUUAAUGAAUCAUUUUCCGAAAUACCUAACAUCAACAAAAAACCUCCACAGGUGACUGAACACGUAAUGCAAAAUGUAUAGCGCACACUGCUUAUGCCUUAUGCUUAGUCAAGUUGCUCAAAACAGAAAGAUGAACGAUCGUGGUGGGUGCUCCAGUGCCUGUCAAUCGGAGCUAGCUACCAACUCAAGUAGCAUCAAUGCAUGGAUGGAUUAGCUGCCGUUUAAGUACAAAUAGUGUCGUAAUCGUAAAGUCGGUGGUCAGAGAAACGAAAAUAGACGACAGGCGUCGCGGAAGUUGGUGACGUAAGCUAGGGAUCAGCAAAGGGAGGACAGGCACCAUGUGGUCUACCACGUGCCCACUCCAGACUCCAGAGUCGACAGAGGACUGGACUACGGUCAAAUACCGGUAGCCACUACCACCACGUGUCAGCCUAAUAUUCCAAACUGCACUGUUCUUCAAUUCCUAAUAAUAAUGGAAAGGACCACACUAAAUUUGUAGGGAUGUGGAGGUGAAUUCCUUUCGUACGUAUACCAUAAUGUGUAUAGGUCAUUUAGGUCUACAUAAUUGAAGGCAUCUAAAACUUGAUCCAGUCUUGUAAUUUGUCGAACACGUAAUAUAAUUCUUUGAUCAUGUUAUUUCGAUGACUGAUAUCUUUUUGUUUUUUUGGAUAAUGAUCGAUGAUCUGAUUAAUCAUUCGAAAAACUUAAAUAAAAGUAUAAAUUAAACAUUAAAUUUAAACACUUCAAUCCAAUAUGCGAAAUUGUACUGAAUAUUAGAAAUUCAGAGCUCGUUCAAAUUUACGUACAUGUAUUCUAUUGCUAGAGGUAGCAAGUCCAUUAAUAGGCAUGCUGAUGAGUCUUCUAGUUUCAUUUGUUUCCUUUGCUCUUUGUCGAUCUUUGCCUUUUAGCUAGGCACCCUUGUAACCUAAAAUUAAAAUUAUGUACGUAUAUAUACUCUAGUUUUGUACACUAGAUAUUCAUUCAUAGAGAAAUUACAUUCAUUAAUUAGAGAAACCAAAAUAAGGGUUCCUUACUUAAAUAAAACAAUGGGAGUAUCAAGGACUCAACAUGUUUCCAAAUUAGGAGGCACCUUUUGGUCCUCUCAAUAUUGGAAGGUGUUUUGUCAACCUCCUUCAUAAAGGGAUUAUAGCAAGUCCAAGUUCAAACCUAUGGACUCUCUAUGCUUCACAUUAAUAUAAUAAUCAAUUCAUGCAUUUAUAAAUAUAUAUAUACUCCAACCCGUAUAUAGAUAGACAAAUUCCUAUUGUUGAAACAAAGAAGUAUAGUAGUCCUCUCCAUUCUCCACCAAAACUAGUUCUUUGUUCUUCUCCCAUCUGCUUGUUUGAUCUUCGAUCUCCCAUGUCUGAUCAUCAUCAUGAGCCUAAAGAUCUUUACUACCAUGAUCUAUUUCAGUAUGAUGAUCAUGGACAACUUAACGGUGGAAUGAUCAUGAACAGCCCCAAAGUUUCUGGUUCAUCAUCCCCGGCUUACAAUAAUAUUAAUCCAUUACAGGGGUUUGAUGUUCCUUCAUACUUGAACACCAGCUUCACAGAGUACAGUUCACUUGCAACGGCUUUUGGCUUAUCGUCUUCAACCUCCGAUCAUGAAGUAUUCUCCUCCAUUGAUGAAGGCAACCAUCAAAAGCCUGCUGAUAAUAAUCUCGGAUACUUACGUGGUGGUGGUGGAGGUCAUGUAAGUAGCGAUGGUGAAGUUCUUAUGACACCAAACUCCUCGGUAUCUUCCUCUUCAGGUGAGGCCGGCGCCGAAGAGGGGGACUCCGGUAACAAGAACAAGAAAGACAGGCAGAAGCCAAAAGGGUCUUCGGAAGAAGGAGGAGAUGUCCAUAGCCCCAAGAAAUCGUAAGUGCUUGUUUAGCUUAGUAGAUAUCCAUUUUUGAUAUAUAGAUUAAGUAUUCGAGUAGGUAUUGAUAUUAUGCCCUUAAUAUAUUUUCUGCAUUCAAAGUGCUAUAUUGUAGCUUAAUCAACUCUCGUUUGAUCAUGGUGUGCAUACUCGACCUGAUUAAUUAAAGUUGAUGAUGAACACCUAUAUAUGCAGGAGCAAGAUAGUGAAGAAGAAAGGAGAGAAGAAGCAAAGAGAGCCUCGAUUUGCUUUCAUGACCAAGAGUGAGGUUGAUCAUCUAGAAGACGGAUACAGAUGGAGAAAAUAUGGUCAGAAAGCUGUCAAAAAUAGCCCAUACCCAAGGUAUAUAUUUACCUACUCAAUAUAAUUUGAUUAUGCACAAAACUAGCUCAUUUCUUUGUCCACACUUCAAAAUUACCCACCAUAAAAGUAGUUCUUAAUCUGGAAAACCAGGAUGCAUGAUGAACAUAACGUUUAACUAGCUAGAACUUUACUUCUUGUUUUAAACUUGGGCAAACUGCUUUCAUUUCAUUGCGCUAUUCAUCAGUUUCUGAUAUUUUACUCCAUCCCCAAAUCCGUUAAUGGAAACUUUUUCUCUGUUUUACUAGAACCAAAGAUUGACUCGUUAUAAGUUUCUAUUCCGCCUUAUGUUUUUGGCUUUUUGCCGUUUUCUUGUUGGAGUUGUGUUUGAUUUGAGCACGGCUCUCUGUUUCAAAUAAUAUUGCAGAAGCUACUACCGAUGCACGACGCAGAAAUGUGGGGUGAAGAAGAGGGUAGAAAGGUCAUUUGAGGACCCGUCGACGGUGAUCACCACCUACGAGGGGCAGCACAACCAUCCGAUCCCGGCGACUCUCCGAGGAAGCAUCAACAUCAACGCGGCUCACCACCACCAUGCAUUCUUCUCUCCUCAGUCUAUGUACGCGUCUGCUGCCACGACGACGUCGUCUUCCGGUCCUAGCUUUCCUCAAGAGUAUCUGUUUCAGAUGGCGCAGCAGCCUCAGAUGAUGAUGAGAAACGACGGAGGAGGCGGCGGGGUUUAUACGUCGAGGAAUGUUAACGUUCCUCAACAGUACCAUCAGUUAUCUGGAGAUCAAUACGGGCUAUUGCAGGACGUGGUUCCCUCGAUGUUUUUCAAACAGGAGCCAUGACCUAGCUAGCUUAGCUCUCCUACCUCUCUCUAUCAGUGUAGAUAUGAUAAUCACUAGCUUCAUGAUCCUUGAUUGACUUGAUUAUUAGAAUACAGAUUAUAUUAUUAAUCAAUCUCCACCACUGAUCUUUUCAAUUAUUAGUUAAGAUCGUUAAUUUAUAUAUGAAGGUGGGACACUACUAGCUAGCUAGGCAGUAGUACUGUAUUACAACACUGAUUGCACGGCAAGAGUUCGACUCUCUUAUUUCUUGCUCUUGCCAAAAUUCAGAGGUGGAUUCGAAUGAGAAGGUGUUCGAUGAAUUGUCCUGUAAAAUGGCAGUAGGGCAAUAACCGACGCAUGUCGUCCGCCGGUCGCCAGACGUUUCCUGGUUCGAAUGGAUCGAGUGAGAACAGUAAAGAUGCAUUGAGCAGUUCUAUGAUCUCUACAUGGAGGGAGAUUUAGAUAUUUUGUUUCUAUGAAUUGAAGGUGACUUGCUAGCUAGUUAUGGAAGAUUGAUUUAAAUGGUUUUGUAAGAGGAAUUUGGUAGAGUAUAGUUUCAGGCUACGUACUGAUGGAUAUUGUUUGGUAGCUAGAUGCUUGUAAUUCUACAGCAAAAGUUGGCUUUUGUAUGUAUGGACAUGUAAGAUCCUUGCUGCGCAGCUUGUUUGCAUGGGUGGUAUUUAUAAGAACUACUAGUUGAUGAUGAAUUAUUUUCAUGAAUGCCACAAGAAAUAUUAUACGUACAGGCAAAGUGUGAAGUGUGAACCAACCAAUUAGAACUUUGUUAUGGUGCAAAUUCAGUGAGAAAAUUCCGAUUUACAAUUUGCUUAAAGUUUCGCUACAUAGAUUAAUAAUUUAUCGAAGAUAUGUAUAUACAGUAUGUAUACAGUAUGUAUACUGUAUAUACAGUAUGUAUAUAAUAAGUCCUUUAGGACCAAUAUCUAAUCAAUCAAAAUAUACUUCGUUUCCAAUUAUAAGAGCAACAUGCAUGAUUAAUCACACGUACGUAUAGAUUGUGAUAUAACAACAUUUGCUUCACCAAGCAACGAGUUAAUUUGCCAAAUGACCAAGAAAGCAAGAAAAGAGAGCAUGGGAGGUACUAAACUAACUUGCUACAAGAAAAAAAAUUUAGUUAGAUGAAUCGAAAUCAUAAUUUUGGGGUUAUCAAAAUAGUAGAAGACAACAAAUUAGUAGCGGCUCAAUUUUUGUCCAUCUCUUUUAGACAUGUAUUUAGGGAGGUAAAUUUUGUAGCUGAUGCAAUAACACAUCUAGAUCAUUAUUUGCCCAACGGUAAUACUCGGGUGAAUAGAACUCCUAUCUAGGCUACCCAUACUCUUGUAUUUGAGUCAUUUGACACGUUCUAGAGGCUUCAUUAUCUAAUUUUAAGUAUUUUUUAUUAAAAAAUAUAAUUUUGGGGUUACGGGCCUAGUUGCCUGAAACAAAAACCAGACUGCUUCCACCACACCCUAAAACCCAUUUCCAUUUCCAUUUCCAUUUCUAUCACGUGUAGCUUGAAUGAAUUAGGUGCUAUUUGGAAUUAGUUUGGUGUGUCUGCUCAAAUAGUAAGAUCGAGUUUGCUGAAGCUGAUCGAUCUGCAGGCUUGUCUCUUCUCCGUAUGAAGAUGCUGUGGGGUUAAAGAUGUAUGUACGUCCUGAAGAUGCUGCAGGCGUAGACUUGAAUAUACAGUCGUUGUGGACGUCUUGACACCAGUGGCAGAUCCAAAAUUUAGACAGAGGGUUGGCUUUAAUUUUGCCUAAAGGCGAAAGAAAAUUUUCCACUAUAACCAUGUAAAGUGUAGGAGCUUAAAUGUAUAUUAUGAAGUUUUCGUAAAAAAACAGGCAUUGAUGAAAGUAUUGAGAAACUCUAAAUAUCAAAGACAAAUUAGAAAACCCAACAAAUUUUUUUUUCAAAUUGAAUAGAUUGAAAUGCAAUAAUUUAUAUUGACAAUUUAAUAUCCAAUAUAGGAAGAAAAAUGAGGAUUUUUUUAGAUUCAAAGAGAAGAAGACUAGAAAACUAGAUGGAAAAGUGAAAGAGGAAUUGAGAAAUAGAGGCGUAGUCACGUAUAGAAGAAGAGAUAUAGGCAUUGAGAAGUUUAGGUGCCAUAUGAACUUGUUUGAGCAAUAAUGCAAAAUUUAUAUAUAUAUAUAUAUAUAUAUAUAUACCUAGUUUUUUUUUUUAAUUCCACAAAACUCGGUUGGGCUCAAGCCCUACUAACCAAAGGCUUGGCUCCGCGCCUGCUUGACACCCCCAGAUUUUCAUAUUUAGUAGUUUUAAUCGAGCUCGAUCAUCACAAUUAUCAAGUGCAUGAUUUCGUGUGUGUUUGGUUAAUGAUGAAAUGGCUCUAUACAUGCAAUAGCUAUAUCUCUGUAUUCAAUAUAUAGAUUUUCUACAAUUCUGUGUGUGUACAUAUUUGAAGCAUGGUGUUGAUCUACAACACAUUAAUUUGGUGCUGAAUUCAUGACAUGAUCGAGUGGGAUGAUGAGGGAAUCGUUUUAUAGUCCCGGUUUCAUGGUUUGCUCGGAAUAUGAGAAGUCGAUGGCCGGAAUCCAAAUUCUUUUAUGUUUCAUGUACGAUUUGAGGCCAUUUUGCCAUACAAAUUAAUAAACGACGUCCCUAAUGCUUUUGGAUCCCCCCCAAAUCCUAACUAAUUAAACAGAGGGCAAAUUAAGAUAACAUAGCUUAACUAAUUCGUAGUUUUAAAAUCAGCUGUAGGAAAUCUUUGAUUAAUAUAGUCGAUCAUCCCAUGUUAUUGCUAGGAAACAUAGGAAAAAAGUUAAGCAACAAUAAACACUUUGGUAGCUAGGUGGUUCCUUCAUAAUUAAGCACUACACUACUUCGACGGUUCUACCCAGAAUAUUACUCAAUCUGCUAUUCUGCUUCGUUCUUACUCCAGACAUUUUUCUUUUUGGUCGAAAUCCUUACUCUUAGAAUUAAUUCAAAUAUAUAUUGGUCAUCUCCUUUGACCUAAUUGAUAACUAUAUAUAAGGAAAAUUAUAUGCAAAUAUUAGUUAAUAGAAUGAUGAUUGACCAACCAUUCAUGAUUGGCGCAUUAAUAUGAACUUAUAGUCGUGCUCCAUAGAACUUAAAUCUGCUAGUGCUUCCCUUCUCGUUCUCUCAAUUAAGGAAUACAUUUUGUGUAUUCUUGUUUUAUUUGGUAUUGUUAUGAUUGUUGUUUUUCUCUUUUAGAGUUGAGGGAUAAUGUUAAGUUCUAACGAUGAUUGCAGUUUAUGAGGCUCGGUUUGGUUUAUGAAUUAGACAAUCCAAUAUAUGUAGAUAACACUGUUUUAGUUGCACACAUGUAUGAGUAUAUAAGAACUAAACAAUAUUGCUUAUGGGUCUUCUUUUCAUUUCCAAUGUGUAUGAUUUCACAAAUGAAAAGAUUGGUGUACUUGAUGAGAAUUGGAAGGUUGGAAUUUGGAUCACUUUCAUCCUCUCCCGAAAUUUUAGGAUUUUUUUAUUUAUUCGUGACUAUAGCUAAACGAAGCCUUACUUGUAAGUCAUAACCUCUCAAGUAUUUCAUCAACCGAAAUCAUCACAUUCAUUGAUGUUCUGUAACUGAUAACUACAUAACUGCAUCUUCUCGCAUUCCACCCUUCAUUAUCUACCACAUUGACGAAUUAAUACCUUCGAUCACCUAUACAUCAUUUCACCUCAUUUUCUCAUAAACACUAAAAUUAUUUUUCCUUUUUUCGAAUACUUACCAAAUUAGUGAAAGCCUCCAAAUUUGGCGCCUCACUAAUUUCCCCCCAAAAUUGGAAGUCAACGAAGACCACAGUAUUACCAUCCCGAUCCAGUCAACUAACCAGUAACUAAAUCCAGUAACAAAAUGAAUCAAAAUGAAUUAAUUAAAUUAGGUAACUAAUCACAGUGAUAAUCCGCGUCAUUAUCCUGGAAAACAAAACGGCAACCACCAUCAACAACCGGUGAAAGAGAACGACGUACCUUCCGACGCUUUCCCUAUUCUUCAAGCAACAGAGAUACUUAAACGACCGCGUUUCGCUCUUCUUCUUCUUUCGCUUCGAUCCUCAGCUAGGGUUUUCGUAUUUAUGCUUCUCAAAUGCGCCGUAGACUACUCACUCUCUGAACUCCCCCGCUAGGUAAUCAUCUUCUCUCUCUCUUUUUCUCUCUCGAUCUGCAAUUUUCCGAUUGGGCUAGGGUUUCGGCUCAUUUUCGGGUCGGGUUUUGGUGCAGAUUGGAGCCGGAUCGAGAAUGGUGGACGCUGGGCCUGUUACUCCUGGGCAGGUAUUGAUUGAAUGCUGAAGAUGCUUUGUUUGAAUUUUUGUUGUGGAAUUUUGAUGAGGAUCUGGGAAUGUGUGUGGAGUAGUGGUUUGUUUGAGCUGUUAAGGAAGUUUUGGUUUUUGUUUUUCGAGGUUUUGAUCCGAUGAGAAUUGUGUUGAUUGGUAGUGCAUUGCCGUUUUGUAGUGGAGUAGGGGUUAGUGGAUUAGUGCAUUGUGGUUUUAAGAAGAAUGUUUUCGACUGUGUCGCGUUUGAGUGUCGAUUUUACUUCUAAAGUUGCUUUUCGGACCUUAGUUUGUCUAGAUGGACAGAUUGUUUGACGAUGCGGUAAAUUGAAACUAGGAAUGGAAAGAGGGGAGAGUUAAAUCUUGCGUCAUGGUGAGAAAGACGCUAAGAGACUUAAUGUAAUGUAGGUUUUGUGGUUUCCAUGAAUGUAACGUUGUAGUGUAAACUGCGACUAUGAAUCAACAUGGUUUGUCAUGUGGAUUUCUUUGUUGUUGGCAUCCGUAUAUUUAGAUCGGUUGAUCAAAUAUUGACAAGAAAUGCAUUUGGAAUUAGUUCACCCAUUUAAUCUUAAGUUACAUCAGGAUAUUUGUCUUCAUCCCCAUUUAGACGUAUCUUCGUGUGCUAUUGAAUUGCAUGCUGCAUCUCUUCUUGCAUUUUCAAUUUUCUUUAUUUGUGGUCAUUCUUUUGUGAAAGAAUUGAAUCUAGCACAUUCAUUGAAGCUUUGUUAUCAUGUCCCAGGUUUCCUUUUUGCUUGGAAUCAUCCCAGUUUUCAUCACAUGGAUAUAUGCAGAGUACUUGGAAUAUAAAAAAUCUUCAUCUCUUCCUAAAGCGUAAGUUUCUACCUUAAAACGGCCAUAUUCGACUUGGACUUACUUCAAUUCUAUUGGCAUUAGAUUCAUGUUGCUUAGUUAAUAUGAGAUAGAGGAAAGCAUUUAGUCUGCUUUUACUUGUCUUCACUGAUGCAAGGCUGUGGCUUCCCUAAUUAACCAUGGUAUAGGUCAACUUGAGAUGAUAAUGACUAGAAUCUUUCUUCCCAAUGUUUAGUCCUGCCCAUUUCAAUCAAAAGUGGCCCAUUCAGUGCUCAUGGCCCUAUGUUGGGGUAUACAAUGAGAUAGUUAGUCUCUGUUGGAAUCACAUGAAAACCCAUUAUAUAUAUAUAUAUAUAUACACACUAGAUCAUAACAGCAACUAUACAGUAAUAUUUAUGCUUCCAGAAUUGAAACUUGCCGCUCUUUUGAAAGUUUUUCCUCUGUUUUAUUUUUCGUUUAAACAUUUUAAAACAAUAGAACAAGUGUUUCUUCUAUUGUGUAGUCAUUCAGAUAGCAAUCUGGUAGAAUUAGGAGAGGAGACAAUCAAGGAAGAUGAUCGGGCUAUAUUGCUGGAAGGAGGUCUUUCGAGAUCAGCAUCUGUAAAGUUCAAUAGUUCAUCCAUCAAAGUGAACUUAAUGAGGUUCUCUCUAUGAUAUGCAUCAUCCCUAUUAAAUUUCAUGUUCAUUUACUUGCAGGCCUUUCUUACGUUCUGCUUCUCAUUUCCAGGUUUCUGACCAUGGAUGACUCUUUUCUACUAGAACACCGACUAACUCUACGAGUGAUGUGAGUAUUUAGUGUAACACAACUCUUCUUAGGGAAGAAAUAUGUUACUUAUAUCAUACUGGACUUUAACUGUAGGUCUGAGCUUGGUGCUAUUCUGUUUUAUUUCUACAUAUGUGACCGCACAGAUAUACUGGGGGAUUCCACAAAGGUACAAUUUUUAUGAACAUAAACAUAGAUGUGCCACUUUCAUCACAUUAUUGUCUAUGGUUCUAUUAGAUGUCAUAAUCUAUUAUCUAUUAUGUGACGUUCUUUUCUUUUUCAAAUGUCACAUCUCACUCACCUGCACGUGCACAUGAAUUCACAUCUGGAUCCAAAAUGAUACUGUGGUACUACAGUAUGAUAGAUAAAUAUGUUAUCUCUAAUUCGAAAAGAACUAAUUAUUUAAUCUAGUGAAUGUUUUAUAGAGGAAACAUUACCAUGUUCAUUUUAAUGACUGAUGGUGUUACUAUUGUCACUUGUAGAUAAGAUAAAUGGUCCUGUUUUCACUCACAUGAGUGCAUGUUCAUGGGCACAAUAAGCUAAUUGUUUACUCUGAACAUUGAUUUAUUGCUUCUUCUUUUUGUUGUUGUACAGAACUACAAUAGGGAUCUUUUCAUCUUUCUAUGCCUUCUCCUCGUCAUAGUUUCAGCAAUGACAUCUUUGAAGAAACACUCUGACAAAUCGGCAUUCUCUGGAAAAUCCAUACUUUACCUAAAUAGGCAUCAAACGGAGGAAUGGAAAGGGUGGAUGCAGGCAAGUACUCUUUGUCUUUUAGCCUUGGAUGUUUUGGUUUGGGAAAGAAUUGAAUGUUGUGAUAAUGUUACUACUACUCUAGGUGACCACCUUCCAUAUUGGAAUUUGUUUCUUCUCUUUUAGAUAUUUUGAAUUUGUGAUAUCAUCAAUGUUUAUCUGUCUGGAACAAUCAUAUGUCAUCCCUUGGUCUUGAACUUCAUGAGGCUGUAGAUUAAUAAGUAAAACAUGUAUAUAAGAUUUGUUUUCUCUAGCCCUUUGGAGUUAAUCAUGUUUGAACUGGCAGGACAAUAUGUUAAAUCUUUACAUGGAUAGCUCCUUAGUCCUCAAACUACAUUGCUGUUUAUUAGAAUUACAUAUAGUUUUCAAAUAUUUUGUUGUUGUUGUUGUUGUGGCAGGUUCUUUUUCUAUUGUACCAUUACUUUGCUGCAAGCGAGAUAUACAAUGCAAUACGUAUCUUUAUUGCUGCAUAUGUUUGGAUGACUGGAUUUGGAAACUUUUCCUAUUACUACAUUAGAAAGGACUUUAGCCUCGCUCGCUUUGCUCAGGUAAUUUAGUUUUGGAUGGUAUUAUCAUUUCUUAAAUUUCGUUGAGGAGUAAUAUAGUAAUAAUCUGAGUUUCUUUUAUUCAUUAUUGUACAAUGUAGAUGAUGUGGCGGCUGAAUUUUUUUGUGGCGUUUUGCUGUAUCGUUCUCAACAAUGACUAUAUGCUCUAUUAUAUCUGUCCAAUGCACACUCUAUUCACUCUUAUGGUGUAUGGAGCCCUUGGUAUCUUUAGCAAGUACAAUGAGAUCAGAUCAGUAAUGGCUGUGAAGAUUCUUGCUUGCUUUCUUGUGGUUAUCUUGGUUUGGGAAAUUCCUGGGGUUUUUGACAUAGUCUGGCGUCCAUUAGCUUUCUUAUUGGGUAAGUACAUCUCAGAUCUCCAGUUGUUUAUUUUUAUGUCUGUUGUGAAAUUGAGCAACUUCCUUUCUGGUAUUUUGACUCUGGGGAAACUUGGCAGAAAUUUAGUUACAUUGAUCCUGUAGUCUAAAUUGUGUCCUCUUUGUUUUAUAUUUGGGAGGCUUGAGUCCAACAAUGGAUAAUAUUGUCUUUAUUAUGUGGUGUUUUAUUUUAUUUUUAUAGCCUGCUUUUGAGUUUCAUAAUGGGUCUUGUGUUGAUCAAAGAUUCCUUAUACAGAGAAGUGAAAAUAUGUUGGUUUAAUACUCUUGAACCGGUUCAUAUACGACUGAAAACUUAUUGUCUUUACUUUAUACUUCUCUAUUUGCAGGGUAUACUGAUCCUGCAAAACCAGAUCUCCCUCGGCUGCAUGAAUGGCAUUUUAGAUCUGGACUGGAUCGCUACGUAUGGAUCAUUGGAAUGAUAUAUGCGUAUUAUCAUCCUACUGUAAUGCCUUGAACUUUUUAUGCAUUUGAUUGCUUUUUGCUCUUUGAUAUUCUAACUACUGCGAUUUUGAAAUGCAAUAUCUUAGGUUGAAAAAUGGAUGGAGAAAUUGGAGGAGUCUGAUACCAAAAGGAGAGUCUCAAUUAAAGCAGGAAUAGUUUCUAUCGCUUUAUUAGUAAGUUGUGUGGCAUCCAUUAUCUGCUCAUUUAUAAUUUUAAUUGUUUUUUAUAUACUACAAAUGUGUUUUGAUCAUGCUCAUUUUUCCUUUUCAGGUUGGUUAUCUAUGGUACGAGUGUAUUUACAAGCUGGACAAGGUUUCAUACAAUAAGUUGCAUCCCUACACAUCAUGGAUUCCCAUAACGUGCGUGUGAUACAACUUCUUAUCGCUUUAAUUUAAAAGGGAAUGCAUUCCUUGGCAUUUAUUGAGAUGGCUUACUGUCAUUCUUGGUUAAUGUGAUUACAGAGUUUAUAUAUGCCUGCGGAACUUUACUCAGCAGCUGCGGAACUUUUCUUUGACUCUCUUUGCGUAUGUACUUUAAUCACAUUAUCCUUCGCAUUCAGGGCUAAUUUUGUUAUGAUAUUCAAGAUUUUGCUGAUGUAUAAUUGCACUCUGUAUUACUAGGUGGCUUGGCAAGAUUACUCUAGAGACCUAUAUCUCACAGUUCCACAUCUGGCUGAGGUAUGCAGCACUCAAUCUAUUUAUCUUUUUUUAGUUAAACUGUUUAGUCACCAAGUCCAACAUUUUAAACCCAGUGUGAUGCAUCUUUAGUCCUGUGCUAAUAGUUGGACAAUAAAAAUAUUCCUAUAUUCAUGUACAGAUCAAACACACCUAAUGGACAACCUAAAUGGCUUCUCUCGGUCAUUCCAAACUAUCCCAUGCUCAACUUCAUGCUGAUAACUGCCAUCUAUGUUUUGGUAAGAGAAUCCUAUUUAACCAUUAAACUUUUUCAAGCAGACACUGCACACUAAUUCUCACCUUCUGCUGUUCUAUUGACUUGAUUCUACAGGUAUCUCAUAGGCUUUUUGAGUUAACGAAUACGCUCAAGACAGUCUUUGUACCCACAAAAGACAACCAAAGGCUGCUUCAUAAUUUUCUUGCUGGGGCAGCCAUUUUUACUUCUUUGUACUUCAUUUCAUUCAUUAUUGUUCAGAUACCUCAUUGACCAGUAAGCACCUUUCUGCUGUAUGCUCAGUCUAAUGUUCCAUAGUUUACAUUUGGUAACCAGUUGUUACUGGUGCAGGCUUUACAAAUCAAGACCCAAACGAGGGUUAUACAGAUGCUUCCUGUUGGAUGUGCAAAUAUAGAAAGAAUUGAAUAAAGGGAGCUGGGAGUGUCAGUUGCAACUGUAGCCUGAAAAAUGUGGUUCUACCAGUUUUCAAGCAGAAAGGCACUCCAUAGCUGUGUGAAAACCGAAUACCAGUAGAGUUCCCCAUGAGAAGUUUAGAUGGGGGAAGGAAACAGGGAGCAGGAGGAAAAUUCUUUUGAAAUAUUGUGGAUUGUUGUGUAUCUUCACUUUUUCUUUACCCCCCAGUUUUGCUAAAUCAUUGAAGAAAAAUGUAGAUCUCUGUGACAUAGAUAGCUUCGUUUUCUGUUAUAAAACAAGUUCAUAUUCAAUGAAAUGGAAAAGAAAUAGUUGAAAUACCCUAUAUAGUAUAGUGCAGUUCAGUUCUAAAUCUUUGCAAGGGUUUCAAAGCCUGAAGGCAUCUCUGCCCAUGAUUUGUUCAUCAUUGAAAAGAAAUGUACAUUUGAUAAAUUAUUUGUUGAAAGAUUUUUAUUCGGUGAAGGCUUGGGACACAAGUUUCCUCGGCUUCAUGGCAGUAUCAGAAAUGACUCCUAGCAGCAAAACUUGGAGCUCUGGUAGGCUAGCCUUUUCAUGGAAUCUGUUUUACACCUUUUAGGGAUAGAACCUUAGCUUCUCCUGUCUUUGGUUUACGACUCUCAAAAGCCAUGAAAAUGUUCUAUGAACCGCAGAAUGUGCUAGGAGAGACUCCAAGGCUUCUGCAGGUGUUUAUGCAGGUUUGGGUUGCAUUGCGCUGGUUGUUAUUUCAGUGCAUUCCAUUUGUCAUGUAAGUUGCAAACUAUUGCUCCAUAUCUUGAAGGAAAAGGGGAAUCCUAACAACUGUAGGAGACCUUCAGUUCUAGUCAAGACCUACAGGUAUCUUGUGUCAUGUAGGAGAAUCCUAACAACAAUUGUACUAAUGUGUUGCUGCACGCUCCUCAUGCCACAGCAUAUGUAUAUCUUCCGAUUUGUUAUUUUCACACUUUCCAUACUUGGCCUAAAAUUCCAAUAAUUGAAGAUAUUCUCCAACAGUCGCCUGAAAUUUCAAUCAUCCUAGGAUAGGAAGAGAUUGGUUGUUAAUCCUUUUGAACCAUUUUUUCUUUUUGAUGAAGACGUUCAAAGUAGAUUACAAACAGUAAAACCAUGAACCAAACUUCAAAAUGCAAAUGAUAAUGAAAGAUGGUAAACGAAUAGCUAAUCAGUAAGGAGUGGUGGGGAAUUAGAAAAAUUGAUCAUCUUGGUCAUUUGGCACUGACAAAGGUCGACACUGACACCGUUAUGGCCCUUCCCAGACAAUGAGAGCAAUAGUUAUCUAAUCUACAGCCGACCCCCAAGAGGUUGAAUCUCAUGUCAAACAAAAGGAGAAGAUCAAAUCCAAGAGUCUCAUUCAUAAAUCAUUUGUCAUAUUAAAUGUUGCAGCUACUUUGGCUGAGAGACUUAAAAACCAAGCAGCCAUAGUAAACUGAGAGAAUAAUACACCGAUGGAAACUCCAAUCACUUGCUCUUUGCCCCAAAUGAAAAAAAAAAAAAANAAAANNNNNNNNNNNNNNNNNNNNNNNNNNNNNNNNNNNNNNNNNNNNNNNNNNNNNNNNNNNNNNNNNNNNNNNNNNNNNNNNNNNNNNNNNNNNNNNNNNNNUUUAUUUUCGAUUCAAUCACGUUAAAUCAAUAGUCGGAGAAGCAACUCCUCUUCGAUUUUGAGAGUUGCAUCUUGUGCCCACUUAUCACUUAUCAUACUCCCAAAUUUUAACUUGAUUGAUUUUUAAUCUAUUUAAGUAUUUAUUCAUCUCUUUGUGUUACCGUGAUAACGCAUGAGUUUUUAUUUUUAUUUUUUUAUUUUCAGGUUGUUAAUGGUGUUAGUGCCAUGUACGAGGUUAGAUCAAAUGAAUAACUGAGAUUAAAUAUUACUACUCAGUUCACUUGAACCUUAGUGCAUACAAAAACUUUCACAAAUCUCUAUCUCAAUUACUAUAAAACGAGCGGUCUUUCUAAAUCACCAAAUUAUGAUCUGACAAUAUAUAUUACCCUUAUCAGUUGAUUCAGAUUGUUAAGAACAAGGGUUAUUAUAGUAAAUAACAAAAUAAAAAAUAAAAUAAAUAAAAUAAAAAGAUAACGAGGGAGAGAAAAGUGGGUAUUGAGUUUUAUAAUAGAAGAGAAUAAGUAGUGAAUAACUGCAUUAUUAAAGAAUUAUAUGCCCGUAAAAUGCUAGUAAAGUAAUAAACUGAAGUACCAGAAAGCAAUGCGUCUCAAACCCUUCAUCAAAGAGGCUGAGCAACUGCUCUUACCCAAGUGCAUGUAUCGAAAAAACUGCUCUUACCCAAGUCGAAUUCACAUAAACACAAAGUAACCAAAGAAGUAAUUGUUCUUUGGAUUCGCUUGAUAUAGUUUCCCCCGGUGUUCUUGAUCUCUUCUUGGGUUCAAAUUUUUGUGCGAGUUGGUAUGGUUUUGCAUUUUAGGUUGGAGAAUAGAGAAUUCAAUUGCGGUUUGGUUUCAUUUUUAGCAUAGACAGGAUUUCAAUGGUCAUUUGAGAUCAAAUUUUAGUCUUUUGGACUUUUACUGAUAUGGGUCAGAUUUGAUUUCAUAUGGUUUGGUUACAUUAUUGAUCUAAAUUUGCCAAUUUGAGAUUGUACGAAAAUCUGGGUUUAAGGGUAUAGAAUCAUGAUGAAAAUUUUCCAGAUGAAUCUAGUGAGAAAGUGGCUGCGUAGGUUGAAGGGGAAUUUGUUGUCCGAAAAUCUCCUAGUUCUACAAGUAUAACAUGGAGGUCUGUAUUGUAGAUUUAGAUUUGAAGGUGAGUUCAAUUUAAUUCCCGUUGUCCCUUUGAAACUAAUAAUCGAAUAAAGAACCACCGUACAAAAGAAUCAGAGUUCGAGUGUUCAACUGGAAAGGAUAUGUUUAAUUUUCAGGAAUAUUUUUCUUCCUUUUAUCCACUCCGUAACUGAAGUAGGAUGGCGUUAGGUGAGUUUGGAGAGAAAAAGAGAAAUUUUUUUUCUUAUGGACAUGCAUGUUAAUAUCUAAUUAUAUAUACAUACCCAGUGAAACAGCAAGCAGGAGAACGAUCGAAUUGUCCUUGAUGCAACUCUUGCCAUCCGUCUUGUCCUUUUUGUAUCCUUUAUGACAUGAACAAGUGUAAUUUUGUGGAAAUAGAAGAUUUACGCAGUUUCCGUUCCGGCAGGAAUUUGAGGCUUUGCAGUCAUCAAUAUCUGAAAGAAAAAUUAGGAAAGGAAAAGCGUAUAAGAGAUCACUAAAUUUGGUUAAAUUGAAAUUCCAAUGGUGAGAGCUUUAAUUACUUUAUCUUGAAUACAAUUGUAGCUGAGUAGGUAAAUCAAAGAGAAUCAUCACCUGUGCAACCAUCUGGGUGGUACGGGUUUCCUUCAUAACCAGGCGAGCACUGGCACAAGUAACCUGCAGAAUUGAUAACACCAUUGACGCACUUGCUAUUAGCCUUGCAUGCGAAAUCCUUCCUGUUCUGAGCUUGAUCACAGGGGUCUGAUUCAUUCCCAAUGGCCCAAUUUAGAACCAUUGGAAGCUGUUGUGUGUAAUUCAGUUGUUCAAAACUAGAAGAGUUGAAAUUGAACAGGCCUUCCUCCUCAAUAAAGGCGUAGUUGCAGGGGUUGAAGCUCCACACUUGCGACUGAUUUGUGAAGCUAGUCAACACUAAAGAAACAUUGUUCAGUCCACCGGGAAUAUUGAUCUGGCAACAACCAAUGCCAGAGCAAAAGUUAUCAACGACACUGCCAAGGCUGUGGCAUUUUGACAUGCACCCUGUAACGACUCCUAAUUCCCCACGGAAGCCUCGCAUGAUUGCAUAAGUGUCACAGCCAACGGCAUAGAACUUGUUUUUGGAAUCGGAGACCGUAUAAGGAAGCUGACGAGGCAGAAGUAAAACGUACGAUUGCCCUGGGCGUCAUAGCAAUCUGUACUUACAUGGUUUAAUAUUUGCAACUCCCCAGCCUCUAGGGAUAUGUUAGUAACAACGAUAUUCGUUGUCAUCAAAUAUGCAGUUGGCGGUUGAGUCGUGCGGCUGCAAUUGAUAAAGAAUUCAUCUCCCAGGUAACAACCCUCCUCCAUGCCGAAUGGAUAUGGAACUGUGAGAUCACCGCACUUGUCUGGGCAGCCAGGCAGGACAUGAGCAGCAGCUGCUGUUUUCACCGUACUAGCCGCCGAUAAUAGGAGUAGGACUGCCGCCAAUGGGAAUUGCAAGGCCAUGAUCGACAUGCGUGCAGUGAUGCAGCACUAGCGUGCUGAGCUUGUUUGUGGAAUUUGUAACUGAUCGAGGGCAAAAGCUGGACUACUCCAUGAGUACGGGUACUCCUGACAGUUCUGUUAACGGAAGGGUACGAAUGUAAUUUCCGCUCGUCGCGGUAACCAAUUGUUUUUACUGCGAGACUAGAGGACAACACAGAGAAUUUUCCUCCGGAGUCGUUCCCGAGACUGCAGAACACCACUCUCAAGCCUUCACCCACUAGCUUCAAGGAUUCAAAAUCAAAAAAUAAAAUCUGGAAUCCAGAACACAGAGAUAUUAGACACGAAGCUCAGUGCCGAGAGAGCAGAGUCGUAUCAAUUCGAACGGAUCCGAAGAUAUAUUCUAGAUCUCGAAGCUCAGUGCUGAGAAAGCAGAGUCGUAUCAUUCACAGCUCAUAUUUAACCUUCAAACUCACAUCACAUGUUUACUCAAUUAUUUGGUAUUAUCCCCUCUCACCCAACCCACUUUCUGGUAAUUUACUCAUCCUGCAAAGUAUGAAUGUCCUGGUAUUGGGGACCGUUUGAUUCUUUUGUUAACUUCUUAACCUUCUGUCAUCUUUCCUCAACCAGUGACAUUGGUACCUAAUCCUAGUGUAAUCAUUGUUGAAAUGUUUAUCUUAAAUGAAAUUAUAAAUGUAAUAUGUACGGAUUGUACGCACUAAAUGGAAUCCUAUAUUUCUUGUCUGCAAAAGUGAUUUUCUGUUGCCGCAAUUGGAGAGUUUAAUAGCUCGUCAGUUGCUUACUAUUGUAAUUGAUGAAGCUCAUUGUCUGAGUCAGUUGGGGGAAAUGAUUUUUGAUUAGAUGAUCAGGUUGAACCUUAACAAUUUUCAAAUUCAUGACAGUAGCUUUUUUCUUCUUGAUUUUGUUCUAAUGUCGUUUCAAUAGGAUGAAGAAUCACCUAAAUCGGAUAAGAAUUGAGUCUUGUAGAGGACUAUAAAGUAGGACAGUAGUCUUAAUUUUUCUGGUAUGAACAUCUGAAAAAUCGGGGUUCUAAUUUGAGUUUGUUGACAAUGCUAAUAUGGCAUCUCCUGUUGUAUAGCAUUUUGUCUUCGUUAUCAUAUUUUCGAAUUUGUUGAAUUCUGUAGAAGUAGAAGAAUUUUUGAGACUUUAUUGGCUGUUUGAACAUAUUUUAGCUCUGUUUGAAAUAGUUCUUUGGAAGUUGGUUUUGUUACUUGUUUUUGACCUGUAUCUUUUCAAUCUUGUUUGGAUAAACCGGCGGUAAAGUGUCUCUGAGAGUUUGAGUCCGACUUUGGUAAAGCAUCACAUAUAUGGAAACUAUCUUGGCUUUGACAUAAAUGCAAGUCGAUCUCUUACCUUCCAUUAUGUAUAAGCUUGAAUGUUUGGCUGUGUGUUUUGAGUUACUGAUCAAAUUGUAGAAAAUUCUAUUGCUUCAGAUCAUUUUAUUUUUAAGUCAUGUGAGUGGUAAGACUACUUUGUCUUUACGUAUAUACAAAGAGGCAUAAAGUUGGAGAAGGGGUUGCGGGGCGAGGGAUUUGAGGAGGUGAUAUCGGUGCCCACGGCGACAGGGAGGCAUCACAUUCUUUUCUGUAGUAAAAGAUUAAAGGUAUUGUCUUUUGAAGUUUUUUUUUUUUUAAUUUGAUUUAGAAUUUAAUAUUGAUCCAAGAUCUGAUUUAGAUCUUUCUUAUUCCUUCACUAUGGUUCUUAUUUAAGUUGGAGUUUUGGACAGUAGGACUCUUCUAUAUUCAUUUGUGUUGGUUCUUAUUUAUCAUUGAUCACUUGCGUAUAUAUUAUCCAGGGAAAUAAAUAUGAGCAAAACAGUCUGUUUCUGAAAGGCAGAAAACAUCAGUAUACAUCAGACCAAAAAAGAAAAA
This 65490-nucleotide long non-coding RNA is filed under the name Fragaria vesca (wild strawberry). RNAcentral describes it as "long non-coding RNA (FVES_LNC001168)". The record is from RNAcentral. Lineage: Eukaryota; Viridiplantae; Streptophyta; Magnoliopsida; Rosales; Rosaceae.